UUUUUUUUUUUUUUUUUUUGUAAUCAGCAUAUUUUUAUUGGCUAGAUAAAUAUAUGAUAGAAAAAAAAUAUUAUUCUAUUUUUAGGCUAAAGGAUUUUCUGGAUUUGACCCGGUCAGGCUCAGGUCGGCUCGAAAAAUUCUUUAAAAAUAUAUAUUUUUGAUUUUUUAAUAUUUUAGUUUGAUUAAAAGAUUUAAUUAAUGAAUUAGUUUCAUAUUUAUUUAUUAGCCUUACUUAAUACUUUUUAAUAUUUUUAUCUAUGACAUUUUCUAUUGUCAUAACUGAACGAUGAUAAAACUGAAUAUAUAUAAGUAUCUUGAUUUUGAAAUUAUCGAAGUAUAUUAAAUUUUGACUCUAUCAUCUACUUUAAAGUAUUUUAGUUCCAUGUUUUAUUGGGUUAAAGUGUAAACAAUUUAUUUGGUCGAACAUAUAUGGACAAAAUUUUCUCACAAUCAAGUUUAAAACUAUUGUACUUUAUCUAAUAAUUUAUAUCUUAUGUAUUUUUCAAAUUCCAAAUUUGCAAUACUUAUAUAAUAAUUAUAAGAUUUUCUUAAAUUACAAAUUAUAAAUAUAUAUAGUUUUUAAAAAAAUAAUUUUUUUCUAAGAUACUCAACUUAAGAUCCUACCAGUAAACACAUCUCAAAACUAAAAACAAAAUUAAAACUCUUAAACUCUACUUUUUCAAAUUUAAUACUAAAUUAAUGUAAGAUACCCUAAUUAACAUACUACCUAUAAUGUUGCUCUAAGUCUGUUUACUUAUUAAUAACCAAUACACGCUCACUGCUUCGCGAAAAGAAAGAAAGAAAAAAAAAAAACCAAUACACGCUCACCGUAGAAAACUACAAAUCACAUCACUCAUGAUUUUAGUUCGUAAUAUUUUGAAGGAUUUACAUUUUGACUCUAAUGACAAAUGAGAGAUGAAUGAGAAGUACUCAAGAAUACUAUAGCUACUUCAUAUGAAUAUUUUCAUAUGGUCAAUACGUUAAAAUUUACAUAAUUAAUUUAAUAUCAUUUUUUAGUUUAGGGAUUUAUUAUUACCUCAACUCAAUGACAAUGAGCAAUUGAGCAUAUAAAUUUAUUCGAUGACCUAACCCACUUUUGCUUACUAGCUUGAAUGAUAUAAAUAGAUUCGAUUCUCUGUGUAAUGUUAAUCAAUCAAAGAAUUUUUAAAUCGUUCCAAAUCGCUUUAUUUCCUUUGUGUGUCACAGUGUCAGUGUGUGUGAUAUAAUAGGUCAAACCUCAAAAAGUUUCUGUAAUAAUUCGAAAAUUAUUUAUAUUACGAAGAAUAUAUGGAAGUCUACACUUGUUCAAAGGUUUAUGGAUCACAUUAAUCCUUUAUUUUGUCGCCACUAUUAUGAUGUGAAGUUUGACUUGAUGAAAUAAAUAAUCCGUAAUAUGUUUAGCUAAAUUUUUAUUGAUUAAUGAUGAAACAUAUCUAGUUAGAGAUUUUUUUUAGAUUUUGAUUUUUUUUACCUACCUUAAGGUAAAAACUGAUAUAAAACUACUUGCUAUAUACAAUAACUAAUAAUUCGUUUUCAUAAUUCUAGUUCCGUCACCUGUUCAUAAAUUAACAAUGUGAAUCUUAUAUUCUUAUCUAAAAUUGUGUUAAAAUAUGAACAUUUACCGGUUUAUAAGGAAUCUCAGUUUUUUUCCUUUAAUUGUUGUGGACUGUUAUUUAUAUAGUAUAUAGGUCAACUUCUUGAGGCAAGUACUGGAGGAAGUUGACAUUUCCAUUUGCACAUCGACGACAUAUACACAAUAGCAAUAGUGCCAUACUGCCAUAGGCACAACUUGCAUACAAGUCUGUGCGACUCUCCUUGAUACCCCAAGCAACUGCAUGUAACAUAUAUAUAUAUAUAUAUAUAUAUAUAUAUUAAUCCAAAAGAAAAGGUACGACGGGGAAAAGCAUAGUGUGUUAAACUCAAAUUAUUAACAUAUAUGUCUCCAACAAAGCCACUGAUUAUAAGUCAAUAGAGUCUUACAGACAAUCGGAAUCUAUAUAUGUCACGCACUUCAAAUUUCAAUAGUUUAGUAGACAAGACCACCAGUGAUUACAUAUAUGUAUGGACAUUAUAGAACAGUAGUGAAUAUUAUUUUUUUUGAUCAAACACUUAUAUUAAAAUGAAUAUAUAUUUGUAGUUUAUCAAAAUAUUUUUAAUACCGAGUCAUAUAUAUUCGAGGGGUUUGAAGAUUAAUUAAAAUAAACAACAUGAUGUCGAAUCUAGGAGUUGAAUCCGAAACUUUUGACAGUCUUUGUCAGUAGAAAAAAGGAAAACUAAAUUUUUUAAAAAACAUAAAAUAACACAAAGAAUCUUGAACUUUGGAGUUUUAUCAAAGUAGAGAAAUAACCAAUCAAUCCACAUCCUGAUUAAACAAAACAAAACAUUUAUGCGUGCAUGUAAUUAUUUAGUUUUGGAUCAUACCCGAGUAGGUUAAAAUUGUUCAUUCCCCACCACCAAUAUCUUUUUAUUUCUAUUUGUACAAAAUAAAUAUAUUAUCUCAUUCAGUAAAGGUUUUUUUUUCUUUUCUUCUAUAUAUUGAGAACGUAAAAGGUCUUAUCAGGUCAAAUUUGUAACGUUAACUAACGAUUUAUUUUAUUUUCUUGUAAACCGUAACGUUAUAUAUUUUUAAAAGCGGUUUUCCAAUUUUAUUCACACUUAAGUAUCUAAGAUAUGUAGAUGAAAUAGUAGUCCAAGAUUUCGAAUUGAUUUGGAGACAAAAAAUAAGAAUAGAUUAGAAUUGAUACGUCUUUUUCUGUUUGUGUUUGCCAACUCUGUUAUCUUUUAUGAAUUCAAGAAGAAAAAAUCCAAACAAGAGCACAUUAACAUUUUUACAAAAAAAAAAAGAAGAGUACAUUAACAUUUUUACAAAAAAAAAGAAAAAGAAAAAGAAAAAAAGAAGAGUACAUUAACAUUCCGUUGAUUGAAGUAUUCAACUAUACAAGGAGAAGAAACACGAAUACAGAAGCGGGUAGACUCUUUCUGAAUUGGGUUUAGAUUUUUAACAUCAGAAAUGAAAAGCCCAUUAUAAAAAGGCCCAAUAUGGACCGACCCGUUUCGGAGAUAUAAAGUCAAAAAGACUCAAAACUCAAAGUUCCCGGUACAAUAUGCAGCUUUUAACCGGAUUAACGAUUUUAUACCGGUUACCCAUUAAUUAACGAAGCGCGAUUAUCAGCGUUUUCUCUUGUCGUGGUUUCAGCGUUUUAACUCGUCUUCCUAACUGGUAAACUUGAUGAGCAAGCAAGGGAAGAUGUUACCUUGCCAAAAUUUUCACUUGUUUCCUUUUUAAUGGAUGCUUCGGACCUAACUUCUCCAGAGAGAGAAACCAAACGUUCUCUUCUUUCCUCUGUUUCGAUAUCAAAAUUUAAAUCGGUGCGGUUGGAAGACUCUUGUAACUGUGACCAUUACUCUGUUUCUUUCGGCUUGCUAGCAGUGUGAUUAUAUUUUUUUGUUCCAGUUUAGAUCAAUAUGCUCUGUAGACUGUAGUUAUAUCUUUUAGCUUAUGUCUUUGUGCUAAGACCAACAUUAUAGGCAAGAUCUUAGACAAUUCUUAGGAUUAUUUGUGAUUUAAUUAAAUCAAAAAUACAUCAAAAUGACUAAGAAGUUAUCUUAUUUAAGAUCUAAAUAGUGUGUUAAGAAGCGUACACGUGGCAUGAUUCUAUUGGGUAGUAGGAUAAAUAUAUAUAUAUAUUUAUUUCUAAUUUUAUUAAAAAGUCACUAUAAAAUUUGAAAUUUAUAUUUAUAGAAACAAAUUAUCUUUAUAUAUGUGUAAAUUUAAAAUACCGCAUAAAUACAUUUUAAAAAACUUUUAAAAAUUAUUUAAAAACCUUAUAAAAACUUUGUAAACCUUUUAAAAACCUUGUAAAACCUUAUAAAUGUCGUUUAGAACCUUUUAAAACCUUAUAAUAAUUUGGAUUUAGUUUUCCCGUAGUAAUGAUGAUCUUGAUGUACUUUAUCAACCAUAUAAAAGUUUAUAAUUUUUCAUAUUUGAAAAGGGGUAUUUUUAAAAAUGGAUAGAAAAGAAGGGUAUUUUUAAAAAGCGAUACACUAAAAGGAACAUUCAUCAAAAAUUCUCUAGGAUAAGUAAGAGGAAAAAUCAAUUUUCUUAUUUUUUCUCUUCUUUCUUUCUUUCCUUAAUUUUAUCUUAUGUAUGUUUUAAAUUUAAAAUUUUUCAAUAAUUCUAAAGUUUUUUCAAAUUAUAAAUUUUAAUUUAAUUUAAUUUUUAUAUAAUUUUUCUUUUCCUAAGAUCCUUAACCUAAUAUACUAGCAAUAAAGAUGUCUCAAAACUAAAAACACAAAUACAACUCUUAACUCUUACUUUUUCAAAUUUAUUAUUAAACUAACUAUAAGAUUAAAAUGUUAGAUACCAUUGAUAAUCUUGCUCUAAGAAGCUUCAGUUACUAACAUACAUACUUCUGACUUUUGUUAUUGUCUCUCGCUCGGGUCUUCAUCUUUCCUUUCGUUUCAUCUCAUCAUCAUAAGCUAACUUUUUUCUCAAUAGUAUCUUGAAUCUCGUCUCCAGUGAUCUAGUUUGUUUACUAUAAUUUGCAAGUCUUGGAUUUACUACUUAUUAGCUACAAAAGAGUAUUGAACAUAGUAAAAUACAUAGAUCGAAACUAGAUUUAAUAUACUACCAAAGAAAAUUUGAUUUUUUCUUUUCGCAUAAUCUACAAAACUAUCCACACUCUUUUUUUUUCUCUUCACUUAUGUUUUGUUUAUUUCUUGUAUGUUUUUAUGACCAAAACUCCCACCAAUUAGGGUAACUGCUGCUAGAUUGGUCUAAGAGAGAAUCAGAAUUGAAACCUCCCCAGUUAUCAGAAGAUGUCAAGCAACUAUCAUCAGGUUUCUCGACAAUGCUCAUGAACUCAUGGUCAGUCUCUUCCUCGAACCCAAAAUACUCUGUUUUGAUGAUGUUGUUGUUGUUGUCACCAUCAUUACACAGAACAAUCCCUUCACUAUCUAACCUCACUUCUGGCUCACACUUUCCAUUAUGUGACUCUGUGCUGCUGCUUAGAGCCACUCCUUGUUCACCACAACACUCAUGAUCCCUUUUUUCUUUAGGCUUUUGCAUCUCUCCAUUUAGUCUCUGCAACUGCAAAUAGAGGGAUUAAUUAGUUAAUAUCCAAUUUUAGGUAACAAAACCCAUCAGAGAGUUUUUUUGUUUUUGGUCUGUUCAUACUUAAUUUAGAGUAAGAGUAUAGUGAUUAUUGUAUAGGAUCCCAAAAAAAUAAGAAUAUAGUAAUUAUUCAUAUAUUCUUGUGUUUAUACUUUAUAAAAAAAAUUAUCAUAUCAAUUUUUGUUCCCAUCACUAUUCAAUUAAAGAUAAAGAUGACAAUAGAUAUGUACCUCAGAGACCAAAGCUUGCUUUUCUUUCUUCAUGAUAUCAAAUUGUGAAGCCAAAUUGUUGUAACUGGCUCUGAGAAUGUUAAACUCUUUCUCAAGUUGCUUAGUUUUCCAACGAGCCCUCUUGUUCUGAAACCAUAUAGCCACUUGUCUAGGUUGCAACCCUAGCUCUCUAGCAACCUGCACCUUCUUCCUCGGUUCCAGCCUCGUCUCAGACUCAAAUAUAAGCUCAAGUGACUUGAUCUGUUCCUCACUGAACCUCUUCUGGUUAUAGCUCUUCUUCAUCUUCUUCUUAUUCAUGGUCACGCCGCCACUAUUAAUCUCGCCGAAGCAGCAAUUGAACAAAUCUCCUUCUUCCAUGGUCUUUCUAAACCAGAUCUUGCAAGGUUCUUGAUGAUUGCGAUUAGGAGAGAAGGUUUUUGGAAUUAUUUGUUUCCUUUCUCUUCUGGAAUCUCUGUGUUGCUGAUAUUGGCCUCUUUAUAUAUACAGUAUGUGGGGGAGUUACUGUGUUUGCUUGUAGUAGGGUCUCUGUGACUAAUUUACAAAUUUAAAAUAAAUAAAAAAAUAACUCAUUAAAUAAGACCCUGCAAAAAAUAUUAUUGUGGAACAACGCGAUAAAAUAAAAAAUAGGUAGGUCCAAAAUUUGUGGCUCGACACGAAUUGUAUCAUGUCUCUUUCAGUUUAAGUCGUAUUUCAUUUCGAUGUGAACUAAUCAUCUAAUUAGUCGUGAUAAUAUUUUGCAACCUCUUUUUUAUUUUAUUUUAAAGAUUAACAUUCUUGUUUAUGGAAGUGAUCAAGUGAAUGAAAUGGUUUUGGACUUUGUGGUAACCUCAAUACCAUUUAAAAACAAUUUAUGUAUAUAAAUCUUAUAUUAGUUGUUGGUCACGCCUACGUUAUGUACAUUCAAACUUUAAAGUUCUCGUAAAUGCAUUUUGUUUUUACUUUUUCUUGAAUUCUGCUCGAAAACUCAUCAAAUGGAUUACUUUAGUUUUCCAGUAGAAUCAUUUCAUUACCAAAGUUUUCUAACAAAACAGUUAGUUAUUUUAUAUGAUAGAUGAGUUAGUUAAACUUUAAAGCAACCUUCUUAUAGCCUUUUUUUUUUCUGUGCAGCAAGCUAAUAUAUAUAUAUAUAUAUAUAUAUAUAUAUAUAUAUAUUUAUUUAACUUGUACCGUUUGUAAUAUAUAACUAACGAUAUAUAGAAAAGGCAUUUUAAAAAUAGAUUCUAGCAGCUUAGAUGAUCAUCAUUGUACUAUGUUUUAACAUGCACAACAACAAAAUAUCAUCAUAUGACAUGUGACUGCCAAGGCCUUGCGAUACUUUUUUUAAGUCAAGAUAAUAUUUGAUAGGUAAUCAUUACGAAAGAGAGAGAGAGAGAGAGAUGAUAUUAAGCAAUAAUUUUUAUACGAUUUGUGUAACGAGAUUCCACGUUCACAUAUCAGGAUGAUCGACGGGUGUUAAUUAGAAUACAUCACAAACUCAUCAUAAGGUUUAAUCUUAAAAUUUUCAUUUGAGAUUUAAUUUUUCCUCACUCACACGCCAUCAUCCUUUAGAGGUUGGUUACGUGAAACACGUUUUAACGUGACUUUUCAUCUGAGUAUUAUAUACAUUUUAUAAAAUUAAACCUAAUCUUUGUUCUAUCGCGUUAAUCCGAAAAGAAGAUUUAAUCAUGGUUUAAUUUCGUUAUUGUAUUUGGUAAGUUGAGAGAGUAGUGUUUGCUCUUCUAUUUAAGGUUUCAGGUUUUAUAUUCUUAAAUAAUAUAUAUAUAUAUAUAUAUAUAUAUAUAUAUUAUAUGUAAACCUGACAUAAGAAGAAGAUAAAUUUUGCACAUCGCAUAUGGUACUAUAAUUUAAGCGAUGCCGAUGCUCUACGCGGUUACUUUCUCUACACGGAAAACAAGAAGAUGAUCACGAGAUCUCAAAGCUUUUUAUGACUUUAUUUUUUCUUUAUUUUUUAGAUUUAUUGACUUCCAUGCAAAUGAAAAGCAAACUCAAUUUAGAUUCAUUGUAAAGUAAACUGACCAAAUUAAUAUAUAUUCUUGGUUUCCUUUUAUCAUGACCGUUCUAAUUUUCUUCGGGAAUAUAUAUACAGUAUAUAUUUAGUUAUCCAUUUUAUGUAUAUUUAGUUAUCCAUUUUAUUCCAACUAUUAUUUAUUUAACAUUUUCUUGCAUUUUUCCUAUACUAAUAGUUCGGCGAUAUUAUAUAUAGGUAUCUCUCAACCAUGGCAUUUUGACAAAUCGUUGUUUAAGCAACAAAUAUUUAUGACAAACGCAACUUAGGUGUAAUUAAUAAAUGUUUUAAUGAUUAGUUUAAGGUUACGUUCACCUUGCUUCUUGGAAAUCUCUUUUGACUUAUUAAAGACAAAUUACAACAAAUGAAGUUCGGCCAUUUGUGAACUCCGGCGGCCUCAUCGAUGAUCGAUCCAACGUCACUUUUAGCCAUUCAUUAAAACGUUUUAAAAAAAACAUAAAUCAUAAAUUAAUUAUUAAUGUGAUUUAAAAUCAGAAAAUUAUUUCAAAAAUACAUUGGUUUAGAGAGAAUGACUAAACUUGGAUCAAGUUGUUUAAAUGAGGUAAAACGAGGAAUUGUUUUGGGGUAUGCAAUGGAAUGAAUUAGAUAUGUAGAAUAAUUUCACACAAGUAGCAAUCAAAGUUGUCAAGAUCAACCACUGAUUCACUGCCAUAUUGCACCAUUCAGAAAGCUAAGAUUGAUGAGUAAGGUGACGUGGUGAUUAGUUUGUGGUUGUGAUCUGAAUAUUGCGUCCGACAAAUGCUAUCACGUGUCGAGGUUAGAUUAAAUGUUAGCAGUUGUUGAUAAGAUGCGUAAGAGAAGAUGAUUCUUUACUCUCUCUCUCUCUCUCUUUUUUUCUUCUUUCUUUCUUUAAUUCUCUAAAGAGAGAUCUGGUUCUGUUUUCAGUUUUCGGUUUCCUAAUGAUCAAUUGGUUAUGGUUAAGCAAUCAAAUUCGAUCGAGUUUAGAUACAUUCCGGUUUCAGUUCAGCUAUGUCAGCCAUUUCAAUAUUAGGGAUUUGGAAUAUGAAAGAAAAAUAUAAGGAAAGUUAUAUUUGUAUAUGGUUUUUAAACAUAUACAUUGAACCGAACAUUAAAAAACGUUUUUAUUACACCAUAUUUGUUUAAUAAUUUUGUUUUCAAAGGUGCCUUGUCAUGACUUGUUUGUAUUUUGUAUAUUCUUCCAAUCUCUUCGUCUUGCCGCGUGUAAAGCUUAUGAUAUAUUCAUAAAUUCGUUUCUAGCUAGAUAUAUAUAGUGUUUGAAGUUUAUAACCCUAAGUGUCAGUAGGAUUCGGUCGUGACUAAACCUAAACAUUGAAUGAGCUCGAUAUUGUGAAAGAAAAGGCCGAUCGAUUAUAAGAUUACCGAUACACAUACACACACACACAGAGAGGUUGGUAUGAUAUAGCUUGUUCAAGACAAGGAGGGUCCAUGAUAAGAUGCCAAUCCAAUGAGGAAGAGACAUUUAUUUCACCACCGCCCAUUACAAAAAAAAAGAGGUCGACAAAUUAUAUGUGAUGAUAGUAACCUUUACAAAAAAAAAUGAAAGUCAUAUAAAAAAAGAAAGAAGUUUUGAUUAAUAUAGUUUAAUCGUUGUUGUUAUCUAUAAGACUAUAUAGAGCAUAGUUUAAGAUUAAAUUCUCUAUCACGAGAAAAACUAUAAUGGGCGGACCAACAAUAAUCUUGCUCUACUAAUUUCAACUACUUUGCAAGUGUCGGAAAAGCUUCGGAUUCGUCUAGAAGGUUUAGGAAAAGGUGAAGAGAUAUGGUGUUCGACUCACGUGCAACGAAGGCACGAUGUUGGUCUAAGGCUGGUUCUGACUUCUGAGUAUAUAACCGGCUCAAUGUUCCUCGUGAAGGCUUCGUGUAAAUUAUUUCUUAUAAGUCACUGUAAUGAACAAAAAAAAACAUUUUACUGUUGCGUUCGAUGUUUGGAUAUAUAUAUAUUCAGCCUAUAUAUUAGUACUUGAAUUGAAAGACCCAAAGGAGGAAACUGUUAAAAGUUAAAAGCCCAUUUAGCCCAUGAGGACCAAUUGCGAAACACCGGUGGCUUGAAUCAUUGGACCAAAUUAAUUGAUACAAAAGUUUUCUUUUAGUAGCAAAGAAUGGGCUUUGUUGGCGACAAUUUUUAUCAGGUUUAAGAUUACAACAAGCGCUGCUGCUGUUACGUAGAGAUAAAGCUUAUAUAUUAGGUUGUGACAUUCACGUAGAUAUGAAAAAGGAGAGAGAGACAAGUAAAAGAUGAAAAGAGUGAUGGAGAUGUUUUAGAGGACAUUGUAAAAAGAACAGUAGAAAAAAUAAAUAAAAAAGCCUAUGACAAGCGUCUUAUCAAAAGACCUUUGAAUGUUUCUUUAUAAACAAUUUGACUAGUAAUGAAAUUUAUAUAUAUGCUGACCACAAACAAAGACAUACUAAAAAAAACUGAAUUAGGUGCGAAUAAAAAAAAAGGGGAUUGUUUAUUUGAUGGAAUCUGAGGCCGAGAGAGAGAGAGAGCAGUGAGCAGUGAGCAGAGGAGGAUGGAAUUAAAUGAGAGAAGAAAGGAUGGCAGAGAGAAUACGAACAAAGAGGGCAUUUAAUGCUCUCUCUGCCUUUUUUUUUUUUGGUACUCUCUUUCCCUAAUUACAAUGCUACCCCUACCUUAUAUUAUUGUAUCUUCUUCCACAUCUUCUACUCUUCAAUUUCGGGAAUUGUUAGAUUUUAAGUGCAGUUUGGACCAGUCUUUUAAAUUAUUAGAAAACGUUAAUCUUUUGGAAGUGAUAGUUUUCUUUAACACUAAUUAAUGAGACACUAAUCGUGUUUGUAAGUGUUGGUGUAGGAAUUAGCACCAACGACAUACCGUCCUAAACCAAAAAUGAAUCGAAUCGGACCAACGAAAUCAAGGAAUCCCGGUUCCACAUUUAAAGAAGAUUUAUGUUCAUUCCUAAAGUGGAAAUGGGCGACUUUGUCUCGUUAGGGUUUCAUAAACUCUAAUUAAAUAUUUAUGAGGAUAUUCUUAUAAAUCUAGGGAAUACGAGCAUUUAUUGUAACCCUAAAUCUCUUGUAUAAAUAGAGAAGAUGCCUCUUUUAUAGGGCAUCGAAUAAUCAAUACAAAAAAACCUAGAUCUUUGAUCUAUUGAGCGAAAACCUAACUUUAUCCUAAAGAAAUUGGGACCCCCUUUUCAUGUGUGAAUUCCUAAUUCAACAGUAAGUUGAUAGAUUCAAUAAUACUAAAUAAUUUUGAUUAACAUGCAUAUAAUAGUAGUAAAAAAUGAAAAGGGGAAAAUGUAAAGGAGUGGGAUAACGUGGUGGGAUGGAAUUGACGUUUUUCCUCAUUGUUUCUCUCUUGCAAGACACAAACAACAAACAAACAAACAAACACAACUCUCGAAGACUGUCAACAAACGUCGAAAUUGGAGCUCAAAAUAAGAAUCGUCUUCUCCAUUUGUCAUUCUCAUGCACAGUCUACGUUUCCCCCCCCCCCCCACGCUUACUCUAUCUUACUUCUUACGCAUGCAUUUCUUUCUUCUGCUUGUACAUACAUACAUAUAUCUAGCUGUGUAUAAAAAACACUCUCUAAUAAUCUCGAUUCUCCAUUGUCGUCGUCGACAACUUGAAAUGUAUACCAAAAUCAUAUAUUGUGGUUUAGUCACGCGUCUUUCCAUCGAUAGUCGGGUUGUUUGUCGCAGUAGGAUAUUUUUUUUGUACUAUACAGGAAUUUACUGAUAUUUUAAAUUUUUUUUUUUUUUUUAUUAAUGUUAAUAAUAGUACGCAUGAAUUACUUUAUUACUAUGCAUUUUAAUUAUAGACCAUAAUCAACUUUAAGUAAAAAAAAAAAAAACGAAAUCUAUUAUAAUUUGCAAAUAUUGUUAUGCAUGCUGUAAUGCAAUUUAUUUUUAUAUACAACGGGAAGAUUUUCAUUAGGUAUCUUUGGACAUUAGGAAACUAACAAAACGUUGCAGCACAUGUCGCGGGCACUCCUCUCGCUACAAUGUCUCUGUUCUUUUCGAUUAAAUAAUUAAUUAAUUAAUAUUGUGUAUUUUUCACGAAAAGACAAUAAAUACGUUACGACCUUUUACGUCAAAAGAACAUAUGUGUAUAUUGUAAUAUUGUAUACAGCAAAAAGACCUUUAUAUAAAAAAAAUGAAUAUGCAUCACAACGGUCUAAAGAGAUGUUGGUAUAUAGUAUUAUUUUGCUAUAGUCGCUCAUGUUAGUCUUUGUAAAAACUAAAUGUAAAGUUAAAUAAAUCAUAUAGAGUGAUACUUAUACUUUUAUCAUCUAUAAUAUAACAGCUGGUAUGCAUAAAUGAUAUAUCGUGUUAUUUUUUUUUUAUUUUUUUUUUGUAUUGUACGUAUGUUUUAUUACACACAAAAUAAUACAGGCAGAUGAUAUUGCCAUAUUGGUUGACAAAACUCAAAAGGAAAGACUUUUUGAUAUCACAAAAAGGAAUUCUUCGAAAAGUACCUUUUUCUUUAAUUUGUUCCCUGUUUUAAAAAUAUAACUACAGUGUUAUGUAAUAUAUUUGAAGUAGAUAUUGCGGACACUAGUUAAUUUAUCUUAUAGUAUCAAAUUAACCCACCGGUUUUAAACUCUUUUUUUUUUUUUUUGUCAAAGAAAACCGGUUUUAAACUGUUAAUAAUCAAAUAUGGAAUUUUACCGAUAUACAUUUGUGUAUAUGAAAUGUAACUCCGUUCAUUACCGCAUAUAAUACUCAGUACUACAUGUGUGAAAAUUAGAAAGACAAAUAUAUGCUAGCAGCAAGAUAAUCAAAAUAGACACUAUAUAGUAUAUAUAUAAUUAUAAAGAUUGAUUUAAAAUAGAGUAAUACAAGUUGAAUGAAACAGGAGAAUUAAAAAAGGAAACGAUGGCAAAUGAAUGGAAAAGAAAGAUGAAGUAGAGAGACAAAAAUAAUAAUAAAUGAAGAAUGGUUGAUGAUAUUGGGGCAGAUCAAUAUAUAGGAUAUAUAUAUAUAUAACUUACUCAACCACUCCUCUGACUAACUUUUUCUCUACUUUCUGAUUCCCUUUUUUCCAUUUUUAAUCUUUGUGAUUUGUGAUUUGAUCGUUUCUCUAGUGGCAUUCACUCAAAGCCUUCUUUUCUUUGGUUUCCUUUUCACGCUCACUGAUUUAUCAUCAUCUUCCUAGUUUUCCCCCUUUGAUUAAUUAGGUCAAAUCGUCACAAAAGCUAAGUAAAACAAGAAACGAAUACAUAUGCAUUAUGAGUAUGGGUCUAUAUAUCUGAUAUAUAAAAUUCAAAGUUAAAAAAGUGAGGGAGGGGUGGUAUGGACUACGUAUAUGAUGUUGCUUAAACAAGUAAAAACACCAUGGUGAAAUGAGAAAUCCAUUGACAUGUCUCAAAAAGUAAAUCCGAAUGUUUACGUUGAAAAAUCUUGAAACUUGAAAUAAAAUAUACACUCUUUUUUUUUUUUUUUGAAGGAAAAAAACACUAUACACUGUUUGACCAAAAAACAUAAAUACAAAAUGGUAUACAAACAAGUAAAUAAGACGUGGGACCUAGCCACCCAGAACCCAUGUUUAUUUUGUCUUGUAUAGCUUUGUCUCUCUCUCUCUCUCUUUUGAGUUUUUGAGUCUCCUCUCUUCUCUUCUCUUCUUAUUUACUUAUCCCUCUCAUCAUUCUCUCUUCAUCACUCACCACAUUCACCUCUCUCUAUCUCUCUGUCUCUUCUUCCUUGAUCUCAGCCGGAUCUGAUGGGGGAGGGGACGAAUACAUGAGUGAUGGAAAAAAAUAUAUAAGAAAUAACUAGAAACCCUAAUUAGAAAAAGCUUUGUUUCUCUGAGGGAAGGAAAGAGGGAUCUAUCUUUUGCGGGGACUGUUGUCUGGCUCGAGGACUCUUACACUAAUACAAUCUAUCUCCAUUAUUUUCGAUGGUCGCAUCUCAGAUCUGAUGAUGAUGAUUGUUUAGGGUUUUAGCGUCGUCGGACCAGGCUUCAUUCCCCCCAAAUUAAUAUUGCUCCCUCGAUCCCAGUCCGAACCAACCCAAGAAGCUUCCUCGUCCCCUUUUUUUGUCAGCUCUUCAUCUAGCUUAGCUAGGGUUUCUUCUAUUUCUCAAUGUGAACAAAGUUUCGAUGUUUUCUUAUCAAUCUUUAUUUUAUUUUUAUAGGUCUUCGUUAUCAAGAUCUUCUGAGUUUUCAGGUGGGUUUUGAUUUUUUUUUUUUUUUUUUUGGUUACAGAUUGGUGUAAUGAUGAAGGAAUCUGACUCAUGUGAGAAGCUGAAAAAGUCUAUCAUCAUUACUAACUUUUGUCUCGUUUUUUUCUUUUCUUUCUCUACCUAUGAUUUUGUAAUGAUUUGUUUUUGUUUUUAUGAUGUCAGGACGAGUUAGAGUUCAGAGAGUAGAUAGAUCUAUUCAUGGUUGUUAUUUAAUGAUGAGUAAGGUUAUAUUAGUUUCAGAUCUGCCUGUUACUUCUCUCAAAACUAAACCAGAUCUACUAGAUCUGAAGCUAGAUCUGAAUCUUUCUAACGAUUACUUUACUAAAUUUAUGUUUCUUGUUUGUACACACAACUCCUAGACUAGGGUUUCGUCAUUCCAUUAAACCUUAUUUACUCCUAAAUUAAGUAAUUAGAAUUUAUAGAUUCUCACAUUUUGCUUCCUUUUUUUUGUUUUUUGUUCUUUCUCUGUGUGAUUGUUAUUGUUCUACAUAUUCACACACUAACACUUUGACUUCAGCAGAUGCUUCAAGCUCAAGAAACUUGGUCGGAUAAAUUCUCUUUUUUUUCCAAAUAUUGUAACUUGUAAAUGUAAUAAUAUCUUCUAUCUAUUAGUUGGAUUACCUGAUCUUUCAUUUACCAUUGUUCAGUCAGUAUAUAGUCGAUCUUUUAUUACAUCAUCCAGUAUCAGGAACUCCAUUUCAAACCCAUUUUCGGCGAUGCUAAUUUUGUUAGUGUACAUCAAAGAUUGUAAAAAUCGUGCUAUACUAGUUACAACUUUUUAAAACCUGACAGUUAAUCGUGGUAUGAUGAACCAAGAAGUACUGUCAAACUCAAGACUCAAGAGUCAAUAAUAUUUAAGUUAAGAAAUGACAAACUCAAGUUAUAGUAAAAAUGAACGACAAAAUUUACUGUUUUUGUUGCACGUUUGAUUUAAAGCAGUGUGUAAGUGAAAGUGAAACUCUCUGGUUUUCAUAACCAAUGUGAAAAAGUAAAAACAAAAUUAACAAAGUGAAUGGAUGUAAAGUGUGGAACGAUGAAAUGUUUUCUUUUAGACAUUCGCUGGAAUCAGAACAGAAAGAAACAGACAAUUAAUUAAAAUGGAUGAAUAUUAGAAAUUAACAACCACAAUUUAUAAGAAAAAUGUGAAUGGAAAUCAAAGUUUAAAAAAUAAAAAUUUGCUUUUAAAAAAUUCCAAAAGAUAUCUUUUCACUAGUGACUGAUUACACAAAUUACCAUGACUUUUACAUCUUGUCUUUUUUGACUUUUUUGUAGUCUUUUAACAAGUUACUAUGUGGCUCGCUUUAUUAACGAAGACUUUGACCUCUCUCUCUAUUUUUCCUAACAACGGUUUCAGUGUCUGUCUUUCUAGCUACCUCUACGAUUUGAUGUCUAAUCUAAAUCUUUGUUCCAUUUUUAAUAAUUACGUUUCUUCUAUACGACGCAUCAUAUUAGGCAAACUUUUAAAGUAAAGGGGAAGGCCCAGUUAGACAUACCCAGUGGGCCUUAUUAAUUUCAGGUUGUUAAUGUAAUCUGAUUUUCCCUCCACUAUUCCACAUCCCAUUGGCCUUUUGAAUUGAGUUCUUCAUUUUUUUUUUUUGGUAAUUCGAAGUCUCAACUAUGCCACGAAGAACAAAGUUGCUAAUCUGUUAGCAUAUUAAUCUGCAAUUUUUGUUAGGCACAAGUAUUAUUCCUAUAAAAAUUUACAAAUGUGCUUCAGUAGAUUAAAAAAAUGUAUUCUUUUUUUUUUUGUAUGGAUCACCAAAUUUUCUAAUUGAUUGAUACUAUCAUUUGUUACAAAUUCAACGAUAAUAUGAGCUACUUCCAAUCUUAUGUCACCAUUAAACAGCUAAUCGUACUUAAAACAAUUAAUUUUAUAUUAGGAAAAAAGAUAAGAAAAUCAUUCCUUUUUUUUUUAAUAAGUUUUGUAUCGAUCUGAUGUGAAGAAGUAAUAUCGCCUCGCCAUCACCCACUUGGAACGGUCUUAUUAUUUCUUUUUUUAUUCUGCUUUUUGUCAACUCUUUUUCAUUUCUAUUUUAUUCUGAAAAAUAAUUAUUUUUAUUUUAUUAAAACAAACGUUAACCUUAAACAUUUGUAUUUGCUAAAAUAUUCUGUCCACGAAAUUUCAAUAGUCAGUUUCUUUUAGGCCAACUCUAUCACUUAAUUUCUUGUAUAUAUUUAGGCAGCGCUUGAAAGCUCAAUAAUUUAAUGCACAGGCCUAUUGAUAUGUAAUACUAGUCGGUUGUUCGCGCUACGCGCGUGAGUUUAUUAUGUUGUUUAUUAGUAAUUGAUUCAUAUUUUAUUUCUUACUUAUUUUUUUCACUAUACCAUAUUUUACUUUUUUAAAACUUAAAUUGUGUUUGUAUCGAAAAACUAUUGAGUUUUAGCUUCAUUAGUUGUUGAGAAAUUAAGUGUGUAUAGUAUAAGUCGAAGUGUGGGCGUAAAUGGAAGUGCGGUUGAGAAUCAUUGAGAAACGUGUGCUAAUAGGGUUUUUACCAAAUAUAGAUCUAAAUGUUAAUAUUUUGGACAUUUUUAUAUGUUGGCAUGAAAUUUGAACAUGAUUUGUGGGUUUCGGGCGGAUUGUUGUAUUUUUAAUUGUUUACAUUAUCUCUUUAUAUAUUGUCAUAAUUUAUUAUUUUUUGUUUUACGUUUUCUUUUUUUGGAUUUGUCGUACUUUAUAUCUCCUAAUGAUCAUUUAUAUACUAUUAUAUAUAUUUUCUGAUUUUUUGUUAUAUAUAUAUUAUUUUUGUUUUUCAUAUGGAACAAUUUCUAAAUUUAACAUAUUAGUAUAAUUUACUUUAUAUUUAUUUUAUUUUAUUUAAUAAUGUUUUUUAUUUUAAUUUUCAAUUUUAUGAAAUAUAGUUAAUUUUUUAUUUGUUUAUUAGUUUAACAUAUGUGUUGUAUUGGAAAAAAUAGUUAAAUUCAUAUUGGAAACUUUUAAAGAAAUAUUAUUUUUAUUUUUACCUUUUUAUAUGUUUAUAAAAAAUGAUAAUUCAUGUUUCGGUCCGACCUAUCUCAUUUAUGUUAGAAAAUUUUUUGAGACAUAAAUUAGAUAGAUUUAUAUUCUCAAAAUUUCUUAUUUUUUGUUCUAUUCCCGUUAAAUCUCAUUAUAUUUAGGUUUACAUUGUCUAAAUAUAAUCAUAUAUAUAUAUAUAUAUAUAUAUUUUAAACAUUCACUAAAAACUAUAAUCUAUUAUUUAUAUAUUUUUUAGUAUAAUCGAUAAUUAGUAAGUUUUUUUAACUUUUAAUCAAUUAUCUUUUUUAGUUUAUAAUAUAUAAUUAAAAAAAAAGACCUUUCAUAUUCUUUGGAAAAAAAUAAUUAAAUUCAUAUUGGAAACUUUUAAAGAAAUAUUAUUUUUAUUUUUACCUUUUUAUAUGUUUAUAAAAAAUGAUAAUUCAUGUUUUGGUCCGACCUAUCUCAUUUAUGUUAGAAACUUUUUUGAGACAUAAAUUAGAUAGAUUUAUAUUCUCAAAAUUUCUUACUUUUUGUUCUAUUCCCGUUAAAUCCCAUUAUAUUUAGGUUUACAUUGUCUAAAUAUAAUCAUAUAUAUAUAUUUUAAACAUUCACUAAAAACUAUAAUCUAUUAUUUAUAUAUUUGUUAGUAUAAUUGAUAAUUAGUAAGUUUUUUUUAACUUUUAAUCAAUUAUCUUUUUUAGUUUUAUAAUAUAUAAUUAAAAAAGACCUUUCAUAUUCUUUUUUGAAAAACUUAUUUACAUAGGUUUAAAUAUUAAAAUUAAAUGAUAAAAUGGUAUAAUUAAUUUUUAAAAUUAAAUAAUAAAAUGAGGUGGAUGAUGAUGUGGCUUAAGGAGAAGAGAGAAAAAGUUAACUUUAUAUAUAUAGAAACUAAGAAUUAAUUAUAAGAAAAAAUAAAAUGAUGUUCUCUUUGGGGAGAGACCUUUUGACCAAAUAAGAAAAAAAUACAGUUCGAUUGAAGGAUCACUCGUCUCGAUUUCGUCUAAAUAAGUCGAUGACUAAUGAGAGAUAUUAUUAAAUGAACUCCAUACGUGGGCAUGUCCUGAAGUUGUUUCUUCUUGUUCAUUGCAUCGUACCCCAACUUUGUAUUUUUAUAUGUAUUCAAUACUUUGGGUUAUAUUUGACAUGCGAGUAUAUAUAUAAUAUUCAUAUAUUUGUUCCUCUAUAAUACUAUUAUAUUUUAUAUGCCAAUCAAAGUUGACAUACUGUAUAUAUUAUCGGUCUAUAGCAAAUAUUUUGAUAGUCUAAUGAUUGAGUAAAUUCCGUUCCUCAAAGGAUUUCAAAAUUCGAUUGUGUGUUUAAAACUAUUUAUACAAUAAACUAAUUAGUUAUAUAUAUUUAGUUUGUUCUGCCUUUAAUACAUAACAAUAUUUCAUCUGUGUGAUAACAAGUGGUGCACCAAAUUCAAGUGAAUCAUGUCUUUGAACUCAUGAAUUUGGUGACACAGCAUCAAUGUUGAUGACUUGAAGAAACAAAAAUGUGUACACCGCUCCAUACAUGUAGAAAGCUCAGCCAUACACAGUACAGAAACAGCAAGCUGACCCAAAGUUCUUCAGAAUAAUUUACGUUGUAUUGAUAAGGAAAACAUUAAGUUUGAUUUUGGAAACAUCGGUUAUAUAGAAUCGUUGUUUGCUUUAUGUUGUCGUAUGUAAGUAAAAGUAAUUAUGAAACCUUCCUUCCUCACCAAGACGACUCUCUUACAUGCAACACACCAAUGUUGUUUGUUCCCACACACAAAAACUAAACGCAAAUCCUCAUUAUAAUGAUAUUUAUCCACGUGUCUUGUUUAUUUAUAAUUUUUUUUUGUAUUUAAUCUAGAAAAGUCCAAGUGUCUGGUUUGUCUCAACUAAAAAAAAAAACAAAUGCAAAUGGUGUUUCUCUGUAUUUGCAUUUCCUAAAUACACGAUGUAUCAUACACACUUAUGUUAGUAAAAUAUUGUAAAUCUGACCAUCAAUGUACAUAUAAAACUCCAACUGGUUUUGUAUUGUAAAUUCCAGAAUGAUCGCAGUCCUAAAAUACAAGAAUUUUUUUUUUAAUGAAGAAAAGGAGAUUCUCAUUUAAUUUACUUUUAAAUUAAAUUUGCCAUCUUAAAUUUUGUGCCCAUAUAUAUAUAAAUAAAAGUAGUAUUUAUUAUCUAACUUAUCACUACACUAUACUUUUUUCAAUAAUUUUGUUAAAUUUUAUUAAUUAAUGAAUUGAAGCUUUUUCAUUUUGGUCAACUAAAUGAAUUGAUCUACCAAAAAUGAAUACUGAAAUUCUCUGAUUAAAGAUUUUGUAACCAAAAUAUGGAAUAAGGAAGUUAUAUACUGUACUAUGUUUUUAAAAUACAUAAGUAUUAAAGGUUUGCUUUUAAAUAAAUAAAAAUCCUCUUUUGACCCUUUUAUUUCACUUAGCAACGCUCAUAAAAUCCAAAAUUUGUAUCUCCAUAAUGAGAAAAAAAUGAACAACUUUAUAAGGUAUCUUAAAUUCUCUCCACCUCCACUAGUAGAGACCCCUUGGCCUUUCUCCUCUGUUUCCUAAGCCAAAUUUUCUCGGGAGAAAGAUUUACAUUUCAUUUCCUUUUUUUUUAUUUGUUUCGGUCUUGCUCCUCUUCUUCCUUCCUUCGUCGAAUCUCUAAAUAAUGGGUUCGGGAGAAAAAAAUAUCAAAAGCUUCCAUCAAAAUCGUUCUAGUAACGUGAAAAGCAGUAGCAAACAAGGGAUAAAAGAUGUUCCAAAAGGGUGUUUAGCAAUAAAAGUGGGAUCAAAAGAAGAGGAGAGACAAAGAUUUGUUGUUCCUGUUGUUUAUUUCAACCAUCCAUUGUUCAUGCAGCUCUUAAGGGAAGCAGAGGAAGAGUAUGGAUUCGAGCAGAAAGGUACCAUCACAAUCCCUUGCCACGUGGAGGUUUUUCGAUAUGUUCAAGACAUGAUCGACAGAGAGAGAUCGGUUAAUUACCAUAGUAAUCAUCAUCAUGAUCAUCAUAGCCACAAUCAUCUUGUUGGGUGUUUUAGAGCUUGAUGAUGAUGAGCCUCAUCUUGACGCAACCAAGCAAAAGGGAUAUAAAAUAAUAAUUUGUCUUUUCUUUUUUUCUAGUCUUUUAUUAUCCUUUUUAAAAAAAAAAAUUAAAGGGGUUUGAUCUUGUGGAGUUGUGGAGCCAAACACGGCCUAACCCACAAGAUUAGGAGUAGAAAGUUGUAAGUGGUGUGUGAAAAUGUAUAAUUAUAAAUAAAAUGUGAAGUUACAUGAACAAUGUUACUUGUUCCAUCUAUAAAAAUUUCUAGUGCUAUAUAAUGUUUAUCCGAUUGAUGAUGAUCACGCUGAUGAGAUGAUUGUGUAGGGAGAGUCGGAGAGAUGACGAACAAAGAUUUGGCAAUAUGCGUUUUUGAUAUUUUGUUAUGAGACGUAUAAAUUUGAAUUUUUUGUAGAAUGGGAUUAGUCAAUAUUAAAUUAAUUUGCAUCUGUUAAGAAAAAACUAAAUAAAGAGAGAGAAUCUCAGUUAAUUAACAAAUGUUUCUUUUUGACACAAAAGUAACAAAUAAUGCCAUAGAGUUAUCUAUCUUUCCGUUGUAACGGCCAGUUUCUACAUCGCAUUAAAUUUUAUUGACCCGAAAACAAAUACUAUUUGUCCAUCAUAUGAGAGUUAUGUAAGUACACAAGAAAUAAAAUCUCUUUAUAUCACAAAAUGACCUAUAUUACUUCAAACGAAUACAAAAGAUAAUAAUUUACACAAAAACUAAGAAGUUUCUGUAUUUUCCCCGAAAAUGAUGAAAGAACAAAGUCGGCAGAAGUGGGUACUUAUCUCUUCUAAUCGGAGUUUUGCUUUUAUUAAUCUCGUCUCGCGCGUGUGUUAAUUCCAAAUAUUAUAUAUUUUUAAGUAUACUAGUAUUACAACCAUCUAACCAACCACUAGGCACGAAAACUAAAAGAAAGUCCAAGAAGGUGCUAAAUAUUAGUAGUGUAUAUUUCUUUCGUUUUCUUUAUUAAUUGAGAUGUUGGCACUCAACAGUAUAAAUCUAUUAUUUUUGUGUAUCACUUCUUGCCGGCAAAAUGAUUUUUUGCGUUCUCCAUUUUUCAAUAAGAUCAUGUAUAUAUAUAUAUAUAUAUGCAUUGUAUUACAUUGUUUAUAUCGGAAGGAAGGAUUCCCCCAAAAUUUCCGUAAAAAAGGAGUACGAAUACCGAAUCCACUCAAAGCAAAAAAUGAUCAUCCUCGCAGUCUCACUUAUCAUGACAUGUAACAAGUGGCCAGGAUUUAAUUGUCGGUCGACUGUGUCACCAUUAGUGGAAGUCUUUUUACCUUUUUUUAUUUUUGUUAUUUAUAUAAUCGUCUAUUACUUUCUACUUUAUAUAUAAAAAAAUUGUUAUUUCAAUGAUUAACAUCCCUUUAAGAAAGAAAAAAAAAAACUUAAUACGCCUUUUCUUUUCUGUUAAUAACUUAGUGGUAUACAACCCUAUGGGCCUGUUCCAAUACACUUUACGAAAGGGCCCAUUUGAAAUGAAGAAAAAACUCUAACGAGCUUUUACAAUCCAAUCCCUCUUUAGUCUUUAAUACAUAAUCUUGAUUGAUUUCCUCAUAUAUAAUAAAAUGUGCCGCUUAUUAACCAAUAGUAAUGGGCUUUAGUUGAAAUGGCCCAGAUCCAGUAAAAUUGGAUAUAUGAUUGAUGACUGCCUGUUUACACUGAUUAUACUGUUGGAAGGUCAAAGGGAAAAAUUUGAUGCCCCGAAAUUCAAAAGCUUCAUCCUUAUAUUUAUUGUUACGUUUGAUUAUUUUAACAAUAUCAAAAUAAAUCGAAUCUAAUUCCAUAAUGCUAAAGUGGAAAAGGAAAGUCAAAACGUAACAACUUUCGAGCUUUUUACUAGCAUGAAUGAUCAUCACAUGAUAAAUAAAAAUAAAACGAAUAUGUGAUUAUUAGAAUCCUCCAUUUUCUUCUUCAAAAGUAAGAUUCCGGACUUUGAAAGAGAUCAUUCAUCAAAAAUGAAGGAAUAAUGUACAUAUGGUUAAAUGCUAUAAUUAAAUAUAAUGAGUGUGAUUAGUUUUAGCUUUGAUGGGUAGGUUAGGUUAUAAUAGCUACGAUUUUGGCACUUGGUGCAUCUUAAUCCAAGUUUGUUGAGGUGAUUAAUUGGGUAAUUAAUCAAUUUCUAAUGAUUAAAAACCAAACUAUUCAACAUCAAACUAAGCAUUUACCAACUAAACGAUCUGAAUUUCCUAGCAUUAGCAUUCCCAAGUAAAUAGAAAUUUAUGUCUAAAUAGAGAAUAAAUUAAGAAAGUUUGAAACAUAUGAAAGAAUGUUAUGGAAUUGGAAAUAACUUUAUUCCAAAACUUAUUUUUUUUGUGGACGAACCAUGUGAUUGUUGCAAAGGAAAAUGUGAUUGCUCUUGGUCAUCGAAUGAUAAUUAAGUUCCAAAAUGUAAACAUUCUUAUAAUCCAAUCAAAUUCAAACUGCGCAGCAACCAGAUUCUUCUUCUUUAAAAUAAAAUCAUUAUGAUGUUUAGUGUACAACGACAGACAUAGAGAACUUCUUUUUCUGUAAUGAUUUCACAUAACUACUGUAAUUAUCACAACCUGACCUUUUUCUCAUCGUAAAUGUUUCAACUUUUAACAACUAUAUGGUAUGAUAUGGUAUGAUGAUUAUUAUAUCUUUACACAAAGUUUUGGUAUAUGACACUUCCAUUAUUUCUGUUAUCAACCGAGGUUCAACACGUGACACGAUGGGUUCGACGAUGACGUAGUCGUUCUCCCGAAAUCUGCAUCAUUCCAUAAAUCCAUGUCCGGUAUAUAAUUAUCCGGCGUUAACCCGGUAUAAUAACCGGACCGGUUCAGUUCAUGGAACGGUGAUUCCGGAGACUCACAAACAGGUGGGAUCAGAUACGAGUUGGGCCCAUUUAGCUGCGAGGCAACGAGCCGGUCCAAAGCGGCCCAGCUAGUGACGAAGCUCGGAUCCAUAACUUUGCUGACGUAACAGUUGUUUUCGAGGUUGGGGAGUUUCAAAAAAGGGUCUAAACCUAUCUCUUCUUUACAAGAUUGCUCCAUGACUUCAAGAAGUUGCUCGAUAGUCUCCUCGUUGAACGGCGACGUUUUCACCGGUCUCGCGGGGCUGUUAAUAGUGGUUUUGCAAAGAUUCUUCUUCUUGAAAACACGACACACCACCCAUCCUUCGUCCCCUCCUAUGGCCUCACAUGUUUCGACGGUGACAUCAUCGUCGUGAUUCGAGGAGAUUAAUACACUACCAUCGUCGAGUCUAUAUUCGUGCAUGAUCCAGUCGGAUUUCUGACCAUGAGGGGCUCGACCUUUGUAAAAGACAAGCGUCUUUCGCAUCCCGAUCCUGUCACCAUUGGAAUAUAUGAUCUUGUCACGUCCUGUAGCUUUCCAAAACCCGACCGUGGUGGCUCGGUUGGUUCUAGUCCCCGUGGGAUACUUCUUGUCCUUAUGGCUAAAGAAGUACCAAUCGUUUUGCGGCGUUGUUCCUAUCUUACACUUCUCUACACGGAAAUCGAAGCAAGAGUUAUGUUAGAUACUUACUUAUAAUUAAUUCUUCUUUCAGAUAGUUAUAUUAUUUUUUUAACAAUCAAUCAAUUAAUUACUAGUUAUUAUGUAUAAAAGAAAUUGCCAAGAAUCCCGUGAAUGAUUGCAUAUGUAUACGACUCAACGUGAAUGAAAGAAUUAUUUAUUAUAUAGAAACCCUAAUCAUACUCUUUUAUGGAGAAUCAAGAAAGACUAUGUAUAAUCUGAAAUUGGAAUAUAGUAUAAUAAGACAAGAAAGAAUAUAAAUGAUUUAUGAACCUUGAAUAUCCCAAGGCUCGAGCUUGUUGAGAUCAACGUCACGAAUGACAUCGAGAUCGAUCUUGAUGUUAGAGAUUUUCUUGCGGAGGUAAUACUGCAAGAGCUCUUCCUCGGUUGGGUGAAACCUAAAGCCAGGAGGCACUUGUGACUGUCCGUUUACUGAUAUGUUCAUUGCUAAAGAUAGGAAGAGAAGAAGAAAAUAUAACGAGUUUAUAACUAACCAAAGUGGGUCUAUAUAUAUAUAUAUGAGUGUAUAUUUCAAUGUCAAAAUAAAAUAAAGUAAAAUAUAUGUCUAUAUUGUUUACAUCACCUGGCAAACACAAAAACAAAAACAAUACAUGCAUAUGAUGGAAUGCAUGUGUUCUUUUUGCUCUCAUUUUUUAAUUUUCUUUCUAACAAAUUUCCCUUUUGAUAAUGGGAGGAUUGUUUGUUUUUUUCCCCGAAUGUUUAAUGUUUUCAUAAGGUGUCAUUGUAAGUUCGCAUGAGCCGCCACUUACAAGUAAAACAUAAAUAAGAGCCUCUAAGGGUUUGUAUACCGGAAAUUGAACUCGUGGGAAUGUACACUUGCUUGGGUAAUGAUCAUCUAUGAGCUAAUCAAACCGCUAACGUAGGGUGGAUGGGUUCUUACCAAGUACCUUCACUCUUCAGCCUUUGGUUUUGCCAACUUUAAACUUAUACUCCAUAUAUUUUGGCAUGAUUCAGUAAUAUACCCGUUAAUAAUUGUUACAAAGUGGGACCAGGGUCACGUAGCUAUUGGGUGAAAAGUAUGGUCCACAUGUCAACUGUAAUGUAGGAAGCAAGCACACAUCGCUACGAUGACCCCCGACCUUAAAAAUCUCUAUGGACAAGACAUUUUAUAUUAGUCAUUUUUUUUUUUGAACGAAGGGUUAUGGCAAACAAGAAAGAAAAAUGUCAUGUGAUGAAGACUUGAUCACAUAUUCACAUUAAAGCUCGUAUUGUAGAACGAUGAGUAGUAUACUACGUACUAACGUACAUGACAAUUCCUUACGGAAAUUAGAAGAUGGAGAUAAAUUAUCCAAAUUAAUAGAUAUCAAUUGAACUGUUUCAAAUAGCGUACGUUCAUCGAAUAUAUGUGCAGGUAGUAGUUAACGUUGCAAGAAAAGGUAUAAAGGAUUCGUGUAUUGUGCAUGUGGUUAUAAUCAUAUAAAUUUAACCUUUCCGAUACACAAGAAAAGCGAGUGGAUUUGCCAAAAAAAAAAAGUAAAAUUACUGUAUAUUCACAUAAGUUGGGAUGGCGACGUGAAUCUAGAUGAACAGUUGUUUACAACUGUGAGUGAGAAGUAUGUACGUACGUAUCCUGUAGAUUUUGUGGGGGGACCAAUUUUAUAUUCUCUUCAACAUGGUUAGUAGUACUUUUGUGAAAUAACGAAUUAUGUACUUUUGUAACUUUGUUAAUAUAUGAAUCACUCCAUAUAUCAAUACGUAAACUCUUGUAAAUCUUUCACUUGAAUCAGCUGUCAAGAAAGUGUCAACCAAACUGAGAUUUAACCACAGUUUAAGUGAUGACCUAUAGCUAGAUGAACAUAUUUAUACGAGUUAUCAUGUCUCCUCUCGGAAGUCUAAGACCAUCUCCAUUGGUAAGAUAUAGAUGAGUUUUUCUAGAUUAAAACAUAAUAAAAAUAAAAGAAUUGAAGAAAAAAAGAGAGACAGUCUCUGACUUCAGAACUUCAGAACCCGUAUAUGAGAGACUGUAAAAACAAGUGUAACAUUUUGAUUGGUUUAGAUGUUUAAAAGAAAAAGUAAUAAAUAAUAUGUAUUAUAUUAUUAAAAUAAAACUUGUCAGAACCUCAUUUAUGGAUAUUCAUCGUUGGCGUUGCUCUAAGUUAGCAAAAUAUUUCUUUAUUUAAACUCACACAUAUAAUAAAAUGAUGUCUUUAGGUCAAAAUAUUAAUGUAAUCCAUGUCGGUAACUUUUGAACAUAUUUAGUGGUGUGAAAGUAUAGAUUAAAAAAUUAUCGCAGUUGAAGAUAAUUAGUCACAUAUAACCAAAAUGACAUGAUUUAUGUAUUAUGUAUAUAAAUUGUAUAAAAUAUGAAGAAAGUUUGCAUGGGAAGCAAUCUUAAUUAUCGUAAAAAUUUAUUAAACCCUUAAUGGUGGGACGUCAUAUGACUAUGUACUUGCGCUUGUCGGACGAAGAUUAAAAAAGGACUUUGUAAUUGGCAUCGAAAGAAAUGUUCUUUGUUUUUUUUUUGUAUCUUAAACCUAUAUAUAAUCCAAGUUUUCUCUAUAAUUACGAUAUUUGACAUUGCAAGGAAAAAAAAAAUCCGUUAACAAUAUAUAGUUUUGACAAAUGUGAAUAUAUAUCACUGUCAAAGGUUUUGCAAUCCAGUGUAUAUAAUAAGAAUACUUAUGUUAGAAGAUAUGUAGCUAACCUUUGAAUGAUGUAACACCAAAAAAAAAAGUAGUUUUAUUUUGUGAAUGUGGUACGUGUGUCAAUCUCCAUACUGCAGACAAACUUGGUAUUAUAUAUACAGUAACAAAAAAAAAAAAGGUUUUAUAAAACUAACAACUACGUCUCGCGAGACCGAUCGGUCUCGAUCGUUACUGAAAACUUAUGAAACUUUUAGUUCUUUUUUUUUUUUUGUGUGAGUAAUUAAAUAAUGGCAGUAUAAAGUUCCAAAAAGUGUAGAAAAAUAUUAAAGCAGUACUAGCAAGUAGGGUAAGAGAAAAUCCUAAGAAAUCGUGGGGGGAAGAAUAGGUGAAAUGGACAUACGAACUGUCAUAUUAUGAUGAUUUCUGUAUUAUAUGUAUACUUACAAUUUGCACGUGUUCCUUGGUUUUUUCCCCGUCAAUGAUAAUUUCUUUCUUUAAUGUUAUUGAUUUUUUACUUAAUUCUGUGAAAAAACCAAUUUGAGCAUAGGCAUGCGACUGAUUACGAAUCUAUAAUUAGUGAUAGAAACUACAUAUUGAAGUUUUUCCUCGAUACCCUAUGUAUAAUAGAGUUUCACCAAAAAGGUAUAUCGCGCGAUAAGGGAGAACCCAAAAUGAUGAUGAAUGUAUAUAACCAACAAAAAAAAAAAGUUAUACCACUGCACUUUGGUCGAUCGGAUCUAGGUGCAUUUUUAGUAUGGAUGCUAUUUACAAAAUGAAUAAUUAAGAAAAUCUUCUGUGGUUAAGGAAUGAUCAAAUAUGUCGUUUGAAAUGAACAUUAUCAAGCCAAAACUGGACUGCUGAGUCAGAUCUUGAGUCUCCUUUACUGCAAGCUGAUCGUUGAGAAGAUGACUCUUUUGUUUUCUUUUGUAAGUGUUAGAAGUCCAGCAUAUGUUUGUUUACUUUGCUUUUUAAAAUGUAGGUCAGUUUUGGUUCUUGUUAAUUAUGUUACGUACGUUGUACAAAGUUCUAUGUUUUACGUGGAUUUAAAAAAGCUUUAGAAAUUUGUACUUUGAUAUUUAUGAAUCGUAAUAGUAAAGUUGACGGACUGAAGGUGACAUUUGAUUUUGUUUGGUUUGGUCUUUUUCUUUUCAUAUAUAAGUAGUUGUUACGAUAGCGAUCUGUUUACCAUGUGACCAAGGGAUUACAGUUUCUUUGAACUCUUGGAAACAAUCUUCAUUUAUUUGUUACUAUUUUUAUAUACUAUAGUAUAAACGAAGGUUAUAUAACAUUUAUGUAAAGAUAAAUACAUCACAUGAAUUAGUAAAUAUUAGCCCUGGGCACGAAGCGAAUAUUCGGAAAAUUUGUGAUAUUUGUUAUUUGCUUCGCCUCGACCGAAUAGUUUAUUUUGAUAUUUGUUUCGAUUCGUAAAUUUACGAGUAUUCGGAACUUCGAAUAUUCAAAUAUUUUUCGUAAUAUUUGCGAAUUACUUGCUUCGCUUUGCUUCGACCCAUCUAAUUUUUUUUUGAAACAAAAAAUAUAUAGUACAUAAAUAUAAAGUGCAAAAUAUGAAAUAUUAGAGGUUUUUAUUUGACAUAUUUUCAAAAUAAGAAGGAAAUAUAACCACCGUCCAUAGAAUUCUUACAUUUUAUUUUUAAUAAUGAUUUUUCUAGUAAAGUUUUAUUUGCUUAAAAACACCAUUUAGCAACAAAAAAAAACCAACGAGCCAAAAUAUAAUAAUUUGAAUAAUAGGCCUAUCAGAUAUAUACCCAAAUCUAUAAAUACACAUAUUAUAUAUAUUAUAUGUAUUAUAUAAUACUUUAUAUUUAUACAUAUAUAUAAAUAUACGAAGCGAAGCGGAUAUUCGAUACUAAAAAAAUCAAUAUUUGUUAUUUGCUUCGGUUUUUACGAAUACUAGAUUUUCAUAUUUGCUUCGGUUCAAUAUCUUAUAGAUAUUUGAAUUUUUCGAAUCGAAUCGAAACGAAUAUCGAAUCGAAGCGAAUCUAACGAAUAUUUUGCCCAGUGCUAGUAAAUAUAUCACUAACCCUCCCUUGCAAGAGAAAACAAACGACUAUAAUUAAGCCAUAAAGAAACCAGAACCUUUGUGAAUGAUAUGUCUAAGACAAUUGUUGCAACAACAAAAUUUAUAAGUCUCCACGAAUAAGUGUUCCAUCAUUGCGCUUGCGGUGAUAAAAUUCGAAGAGCAUAAUGAAGAUAAUUGAAUGCCUUAUCGAUGCGGAACCAGUUGGAUGGUGCAUGAUUUUUUAAGUGUGAUAUAUGUUUUGUUCCUCUGUUUCCUUAUUUGAAAUACAAUGGCCAAGUAGAAGUUAAAAGUAUAUUAUUGCGAUGGCUAAGAAGACAUUAACCCAAAAAAGUUCCAAAAUUCACAUUUGUUAGCAUCUUAUAGUUUCCAAUGUUUAAGGUUUUCUUUUCCGUUUAAGGUUUUUUUUUUAUAGUAAACAAAUUAAUGUUAAUACCUUCCAAGUUUGCUGGUUGUUGAUGCAGCCAGGACAGCUGAAAUCGAAUCAUUGUUAGAAUUUUAAUAAAAUAUUUGUCGUCUAAUACUUGUGUUCUUCCUCACUUUGGUAUCUCAUGACGAACUAAACAACUAGUUAAAUACUUUGCAUGCACGAGACGAGAGAAAGGUACGUACCUUUUGGUUUCAUAAUUUAAAAUAAUAUAAUGUCAUCCGUUAUUUAAUCUUUAACCUGAACCAUGUGUGUUUGUCUUUUCAAACAGAUGCAAACAUGGUGAUGGUGGAGAUCUAUAGUAUACACAUACUUAAAAUAUGUUAAUUAUAUAACCAAUUUCGGUAGCGUAUUAUGCAUAUGCAUAUGAUAUAGUCGUAUUAUGCUACUUGGCUAAUUGCAUUUAUAUUAAAAUACCCAAAACAAAUACAUAAGGGUAUUAAUUAGCGUAUUUCUUGAUAAGUCUAAAUGAAGUUAGCUAAGUAUAUACGUACUAAAAUUAAAAAUCGUUAAUAAUCUUGCGUCACCACUUUAAUAACAAUCAUUCAGGGUGUGCAUUUGGAAUUUACUUUCAGAUCUUUUCCCUUUCUGCAGAACACAUGUGUCGACUAGGAUUCGAUCGCCUCAUGUUAAAAACAUUAAUAUUAUGUCCGAUGAACACUUUCAUUGCUUAAAUCGGAAUGAAAGUGUUUUUUCUCUCUUCUAGAAAACCUGAUUUGACGCUGUCAAGAUUUCACAUACUCAUUUUCAUCAGGAAAAAAAAAAAAAAAAAGACUUCACAUACUCACAUCUACAUGUCCAAUAUCGAUAUGUAGAUAGAUGGUCAAGUCUAAGAACAACUGUUUCUUUUGUUUCCGUAUUUACAUAAUAACGAAUUCAGAAUAAUAGUUGUGCAGGGUGCACAUAACCUUAGCCUAAACUGUUUCUUGCCAUAUUUGGGCCCUUUGGCCUGAGAAGAAAAAAGUUUUGGUACAUUAUAAGUUCAAGUGAUUAGGAUUAAAUUUAGUCGACAACAAUUCAUUUAUAGACAAACUCAACAUAGGCCCAACAGAGAGUUUUAACUAAUAAGUGGAACAUGAACAAUAUCUCUUUUGAUAUCUCUUUUAACUAUAAAUAUUUGAUAUCCAGAUGUCUCUUUUGUUUUGCUCUUUUUAGGCUUUGAAUAAGAAAUAAUAAAUGAUCGACUAAUUACGAUUUCAUGUGAGAGAUGUCGUCGAUGUUUCAAAUAUUUAUAAGUUUAUAAAGUUAUAUAAUAACUUCAAGUCUCCAACGCAAAUCAACAUGAUUUUAAAACUCGAUAGUGAAAACAGAGUAAAACAUAAUUAACAUGUAAAAAUUACAUAAAACAUGGGUUACACAUAUAUAUUCGAAAAUUUACCUGACCUGCCCUUUGAAGCUACUACUCGUAACGCUUAUCUGGUCUGAAUUCGCCCUCGAGUGAAGUCCACCUCCGCCGCACUUGGCCACCGUCCUCACACUUUCAACCAACGCUUCGGUUUCCACAUCCUCCGCAAGAAUUUCCGCCAACUGCUCCGGACUUAUCACAAGCCUCACCUUCCACACUCCACAACCACCUCCGCCGCCGCCAUUCAUAGCCGUCACUACCGGCGUCUUCCCAAAAGACACUCUGUACGGCGUUGACAGUUGGUCGGAAGAAUACUGUUGAACGGUCGAGGCGGCGGAAGAACGAGGGAGGAGGUAGUAGAUGUUACCGGGAAAGAGCUCUUCGCCGUGGAGAAGCGGCGGGGACGAGUGGCGGAGGCUUACAGAGUCGUGGAUGACGUGACCGGGAAAUUCGUUGGUGAUAAAUUCGGCAAAGAUGGGAGGAUGAAGCUCCAUAACGCCACCAUUUGGUGUCACCACUUUUAUCAACGAAUCAUCUUUAUCGUAUAGUUUUCUUGAACCACCACUGCCUUUGAAUACGCAGUUACCCAUUUUUGUUUUUGUUUUUUUCACAUGAACUAUAUAAUAGUAAGGAACUAGUUAUUGUACAUGUGUAUAGGUGAAGAUAUGUAUGGAAUCUAAAGAUAACCCAAGACGGAGAAGGGUUUAAGACUUAAUAAGGUUUUCUUUUAAGCAUAUGAAGUAUCAAAACUUUAUUACGAUGUCAAACAAAAAAUGAAAACUGUGGAUGGUCCACCACUUUUCUUGGUUAAAAAGGAACGAAGAUCCUCUGCUUGUGAUAUUUUUUGUUAUCCUCAUACAGUAUUAUGAUUUUGGGCUUUCUACUAUCAUGAUAAUUGAUAAGCAAGUUAAAAAAAAAAAAACCGAUAUUUAUUAAUUACCCUUCCUUUUAAAAAGGGUAAUAAUAUUCACGUGAGGUCAAAAGGUAAAAAAGGCCGACAGACACCAAAAUAGUCUUCACACUUUAUUAAAACAAUGGAUGAUUAUAAUCAAAUUUGCAAUCGAAUUUUACUAUUUCAACCUGAAUAAUGCAGGUGAAGCCAAAUUCUUAGAGAAGAAAACCCACGAAAACUAAUGCUAGAAUUGUGUUUGUAUAUAUCGAACGUUAGAGCAUGUCUAAUGGUAGUAUGCUAUCAUAAUUUUUUAGUAAUUGUUUACUAAUAAAUGGUGUAAUUUUUGAAAAUAAGAUUUUUUGAGGAUAACUAAAAUUAUCCACCUCCAAUGGUAAAACUCUUAAUUGGAGUUCUUAAAAAAAAUUUGAAAACUAAAAUUUUAUAAAACAUAAAAAUUAUUAAUUUGUAACACACAUAAUACAAACAUAACUAAAAUAUAAUAAAACACAUAAUACAAAUCAUAUUUUAGUUGUUGCCAAAGUUUUGCUAAAUAUUUUUAACCAGAUCAGAAAAGAGAUGAAACUGUUUUGUUGCCUGAGAGAACGAGAGAGAUGGAGAGUUUUUUGUUUUGGUCGGAAGAGAACUUUGGUUGGAAAAGAAAGAUAAUUUCAAAAAUACAUAUUUUCAAAUACCACUUUUUUAAAAUAUUCCAUUUUCAAACUUUAUCAAAAAAACCAUUGAAAAUGUUGAAAUUUAUCCAAAUAUGUGUGUGACCUUAUAAGUAUACACAAAAAAUUAUAUAUAUUUCAUAAAUAACGUAAAAUUAAUUUAUAAGAACCUUUUAAAAACCUUAAAAACCCUUUUAAAAACAUUUUUAAAACUUGUAUAAAAGAUUUAAAACACUUUAAAACAUUAUAAAAUAUUUGUAUCGAAUCACUAGUAUUUAUUAUAGAGAAGUAUUUUAUAAACCAUAUAAAACUUUAUAAUUUUUUAUAUUUAAAUGGUUUUUGUUUUUUUUCUUAAACUCUCUUGUACCGACACGUGUCUCUAAGAAACUAUCUCAAAACUUCUUAAUUAAGAGUUGUCUCCUAGCUUAAUAUUGAAUUUUGAUUUAUUUUUUGCCUUUUUAUUUCUAAGAUAUUGGUUAAAAAACCUGCAUUGGACAUGGUCUUAACGUGUUAACCUAUGGACCAAACAAAGUAUAAAAUAUCAGAUAAACAAAGUAUAAAAUAUCAGAUAAACAGAGUAUAUAUUAUCCUUUCCAUUGUUGUUUUUACACUAAUUGGUUAUAUUUAGAUGUCACAUAACUUGCGGAUCCAUAUGUCCUACAACAAUAUAACAUUUUGUCUUCUUAUAUUAUACGGAGGAUGAUCAAAUAAGAAAGAUUAUAUGGCAAGACGAAAGACAAAAAAACAGUACCACCUUUCGGUGCACUUAAUUACUUACCAACAAUUUCUUUGGCGGGUCAUUAUUAAUUCCAAGGGUCCUUACGGGACAAUGGCCCAUAAUAGUAUUUUACAUUCAUUUUAAAAUGAAAAAUCUAUUAGUUAGAGAGUUUUGAACCCACCAUAGUGGAAAUAUAUAUUUUAAAAUUCCACUAGCCUACUAGAUGCUGAAAUUUUAAAUACAAGCAAAUAAUUAUGAUUUAUACUCAUAGAAAUCUAUACGAAUGAAAAUUUAUUCAUUUAUUGUGUUUUGUCGGCUUUGAUUUAUUCUUUUUGUCAAAAUAAUUAAAGCGAGAAAAUGUAUUGCUGUUUUUAAUUUGAAAUUUAACGUGGUUACGUUUUGGGUUUAUAUGGUUUCUUUUGAAAAGCCUUACACUAUAUAAAAUUGAGUUUAGUAUUAGAUCAAAUAUAAUUUACAUGUAAAGAAUUGUUCUCUCAAAACUGUUUUGCUCAUUAGUUCGAUUAGGAUUGGCAGAGCCGCACGUUUAGCCUACUAACACCAACAAACCUACGUACAUGGCCUAACCCAACACUAGCCACUUAACUAGUAUGUGAAAAAUACAUAAUGGGCCUAACAAAAAAACUUACUUCGUAAAAAUUAUGGUCCUGAAUUGAUUACGACAUUGCUUUCUUUAAUGAGCUUCGUUAUACAUACGCAUACAUUUAAUUUAUUUUAAAGGAAUCAAAAAAUGAAACGCAAUCAGAAUAAACGGGAUGGUUUCAUACUUUGCAUUCGAUAUAAUAAUGUUAUUUUCUUCUUAUACUGAUAAAAACGAGAAAUAGGUGAGUAAUAAUAUAAUUAAGAGGUUUAAGGUGACUAAAUCACGGAGAUAAAGACCGUAUUUGAAGAUAGUUGACGCGUGAAACACACCCUGACAACAUGUGUGUAUUACUUAGAUUCCACGUCAGCAGAUACGUGAACCAGAACAACACUGUCUUUACAUAAUAAAUGUACUUCCGUCUAAUAACCUCGCAUGCCCCAUGCAUCGCCGUAGUUCACAUUCUUACUCAACUCCCUUCCCUUUUUCAUAAAAUUUCCGGGUUUCAAACUAACCGGAUUUUACUUAAAUCAAAUGCUAUCAAUUUAUAUACCGAACCGUAGCUAAAUUUAGUACAACAUAAUCGAAUGUACUAUAUUUUCAACAUUUUUUUUUUUAAUCUAAUGUAUGUAUAUCAAUACGAUAUAUUCAGCUUGCAUCAAUUUUUUUUUAUCAAAAACAAAACCAAACCACAUAUUUAUCAAACCGUACCAAACUAUAUAAAUUUUUUUCGGCUUUCGUUUGGACAUGCUUUGACGGCAAAACCGAAAUACCCAAUCAGAACAAUAUAAACCAAAUCGCACACGCCUAUAUAUAAAAUGCCCACGCCUUUACAAAAAUGCCUAACAAUAUCUUAAUCUCUUGUAGUCCUAUAAAUUUAUAGAAACGACAAGUCAUACACACAUCAAUUAAUGCAAGCAUUUGAAAAACAAGAAAGAUCAAGAUAAUGGGGAAUUUUCUUAGGAGAAGCUGCGCUGUGCACCCGGCUAAUUCUGGCGUCGACGGAGGAAGAGGGAGAGAGGUAGAGGAGCCGCUACGACAACGUAGAAGCAGCACUAUACGGAUAAAAGUGAGGAUGAGAAGAGAUAAAUUGGAAGAGCUUUUGAAUUUGGCGCGGCGUGGUGAUCAAUCUAACGACAGUGGUAAGAUCGGUUUCUUGAUUCUUAAAGAAUGUAUGGAAGGUCGCUUACCGGCGAGCGUUCUUGGCUCCAGUGACGAUGUUCCGUCUCAACGGUGUGGAAACUACUUAGUGUCUCGAAGAUUGGGAUCCAUCACGGAGGAAUAGUUAAAUGAUAUAUGUGCCUUCCUAAACAUAUAUAGCAUAAACGUUUAGAUAGACGACAUUUCAAUAAUGUUUUCUAGCUCAUUAAUUAUCAUGUUAAAGCAUAUAUCUUAGAGUAAUUAAUAUAAGAAAAAAGGAGUUUCAUUAUUCAAAUAAAAGGAAGAAAAAAUAAAAGAAACGAAUGUAGUAUGUUUAUGUCAUGAAUUUGAAGAUAUAUACAUGUAAAUCUCAAUACUGUUUUAAUUUGUCAACGAAUAUAAAAGUUUUUAUAUACACAGAAUUAUACUAAUUAUUCAUUAUAACCGGAAACCUUAAUCAUCACAUAUCAGACUAACGUAAAUCUGAUGGCGCUUUAGAUAUUUGAAAAUCUCUAAAGGUAAACUUACAAACAAACUUCAAAUCCAAUCAACAAUAUUUCAUCCGGUUCAAACAAGUCUUUGAUCGACCCAUCAAAUCUACUGAGUCACCAGAACAUAACGUGUUUAAAUUUUUUAUAGUUUGUGUUUGGUCACAACUGCUGAUCAUUCACCGUAUACGCCUUCAAAAUUAUCGAAUUCUUCUACCAAAUGUAAAAUAGAAUUAGGAUGGUUAAAAUUUCUUGUAUUAAGGUUUUGAUGUCUUAAAUUCUUUACAAGUUUGUUAAAAUAAUAUAAUUAUGUAUUUAUCAUGCUUUGCAACGAUUUUUCUGCGAUAAUUUAGAUAGGUGUGAAUGUGUAAUCCUGUAAAACUAUUGUUUGUUGCAUCACCCAAUGGAUACUUUUGAAAUUUAGAUAGGUGUGAAUGUGUAAAUUGUAAUCCUAUAAACUAUUGUUGUUGCAUCACCCAAUGGAUUAAUUUCUCUUCAUUUUUUAAAAGCCAACGUUAACUCUCCCGUUCCCAUAUAUGAAAGUGUUAAUAUUGGAAGAUUCUAUUACAGGUUCUAGAUAGAUUAUAGAAUAUUAAAAUUUUGUUUAAGUAGAUUUGAUAGAAACUGAGAUUUACAUAAUGUAAACGUUUUUUUUUUUUUUUUUUUUGCAUUUUUCUAAAAACAGUCAAAAAGUCAAAGUCAAAUCCCGUCUAACAAGACCAAAUAAUUUUUCGUAGGCAAUAUAGCAGCCGAAGUUCUGUAUAUCCAUCCAUCCAUCCUCGGUCCACCAUAAUUAGCCCAUUAUACAACUUUCAUAAAUGGGCCUUUCAAGAAAUCAAUAAAGAUGAAUUGAUUACUUUUAUCAUAGUACAGCUAAAUUCAAUAGUUCCGUUGAGAAAAAAAAUAAUAAUAAUAAUUUGAGGACGAUAUGGGGGAGAGAGAUUAUUAAGGUUUUGUUUCCAGAUUCUUUGCACUCUCUAUGGUGAUAUCAAGAUUUGGUCUACAUUAGAAUCUGAUGUCGCUUGGAUUUCGUCAUUGUUACAUUGGACCUUCACUUAAAUAAGCUUUUUAUAUUGCUACUACUCAUGUUUUAUAGGUUUUGGCAUUAAUAUGUUGUCAUCAUUGUCAUUAACUUCAUGGGUUUUUUAUCGAUUAUAAUUUUAUUAGUCUCUCUUUUCUUCGUAUGUUGUAAUGUUGAAAUAUUGUUUUGCUCGUAUCCUGAUGUAGUUGUGGGAUGCAUGUCCCUGUGUUAGUUCUCUGUUUUCCCUACUUCUUUAAAUAUAUACUUCAUGUUUCAAACUCUAAACCUUACUCUUGAUUUGAGUUUCUACUAUCUUGACUUGUUGUGAGGUAACAAAUCUGUACUCUGUAUUUAUAGAAUUGCGUAUAGUUCAUUGAUUCUAGCUCUUAACUUACUUUAUUUUCUUACUGCAGAUGGACUCAAGAAGAAGUAAAGUCUGUGGUGAAACAGCUUGUGGGUUUUCAGCUUCUUCAAGUGAUGCCAAGGAACGAACUGCUUCAAUGCGAAAGCUCUGUUUCGUUGUGGUGUUAUGUCUCUUGUUCAUGAGCAUUGAAGUUGUUGGUGGCAUUAAGGCUAAUAGUUUGGCUAUACUAACAGAUGCAGCUCAUUUGCUCACUGAUGUUGGUGCUUUUGCCAUCUCUAUGCUCUCCUUAUGGGCUUCUUCUCUGGAAGCUAAUCCCCGGCAGAGUUACGGCUUCUUCAGGAUUGAGAUUUUGGGUGCUCUUGUCUCAAUCCAGCUCAUUUGGUUACUCACUGGGAUUUUGGUCUAUGAAGCCGUAACUAGACUCCUCCAAGAGACUAAUGAUAACGUUUAUGGUUUCUUCAUGGUUCUUGUUGCUGCUUUUGGUUUAGUUGUAAACAUCAUAAUGAUUGUUGUGCUUGGACAUGAUCAUGGGCAUGGGCAUGGGCAUGAUCAUGUUCAUACUCAUGGUCAUGGUCAUAGUCAUACUCAUGUGCAUGGCCAUAGUCAUGGGGGGGGAAGCUGAGCAGUUGUUAGAGAAACCAAAGGAAGGGAGGAACAUUAAUGUGCAAGGGGCUUAUCUUCAUGUUCUUGGGGAUUUAAUCCAGAGCAUUGGGGUGAUGAUUGGAGGGGGUCUAAUUUGGUAUGAGCCUAAAUGGAAAGUAAUUGACUUGAUCUGCACGUUAUUCUUUUCGGUUAUUGUUUUAGGGACGACCAUUAAGAUGAUCCGAGGCAUACUAGAAGUUUUAAUGGAGAGCACACCGAGGGAGAUCGAUGCGAAGCAACUCGAAAAGGGAUUGAUGCAAAUCGAAGAAGUGGUGGGUGUUCAUGAGCUGCACAUUUGGGCAAUUACAGUUGGAAAAGCUCUGGUUUCUUGUCCUGUCAAGAUUAGACCAGAAGCUGAUGAUGAUAUGGUUCUUAACAAAGUGAUCGAUUACAUCUGGAGAGAGUUUCAUAUCAGUCACGUUACCAUACAAAUCGAGCGUUAAAACAACAAAAAGGUUCAUUUCUCAGGUUUUCUGUCAUUUUCAUGAUCGAAGUUCAAUCUUUUUUCGCUUUCUCGUGUGCUUCUCCAUUACAUUGUUGUGACAUAUGCUGAUAUGCUAUUGUGUUUUUUGUUUAUGAAUAAGUUUCUUUUUGUCCUGUCUUCUAAAAAGGUAAUUAAAAGGACAUUACUUUAUUUGAGUUUAGGGGCUUUGUGUUAAGUUACGUCAGAAGAACCAUAAUCUCUAGCGUUUAUCUUUGAUAACAGACCUACGAAAAAAAGUAGUGGGGCAUCUCUGUCCUGAGAGGAAGUAACCAGAGCUCGUGUGUGACUGUUAACAAACAUAUCCAGUACACAAUUGAUAAAAACAGAUCCAAUUCCAAACCUUCUUUGGAAUUUUUAAUUUGUUGAUAAGGUUUCUAAGGUCUUCGUGAAGUAUGCAAAGGCCGAAUGUUUUGUUUCUUUGUUCAAGUUUUGCGAGAGCGGAUAUGAAUUUACCCGUUUGGAGUGAGAUUGUAGACAUAUUGGGACAUUUUAUAGGACCAACACUGUUUAAUGCCGUAGAAGCCAAGGCAUUUAAUAGAUUAGAUUUGUAGACUUUAUAUCUUUAUUAGAGUCAACCUUGUAACCAAGAUAUUAGAUAUGAAUGGGUUUUGCAAUGUAAAAGACAAACUCCCACGCUUUAGAAACUCUAUUAAAACGCUCUAAGCUGGUUUAUAUCAUUGGAACAUGAUGGAUGCAUGCAGCAUAGUUUCUGUAUAAAGUUAAGCUUUUUGAGUCUUGAAUAAAAGAAAUGGUAUGGGAAUAGUGAAGAAAGAAUGAUUGAGACAUCAUGAGAAAGAUGACACAAACCCAAAGGAAGCUCUCUUACCCAUGACAUGUCUCUUUUUACCUUCUUCUUCUGUGUAAUUUAGAAUUGUCCCCACAAAGUCUGUCUCCACUUCAAGACAAAACUGCCUCCACCAAUAAUCUCUUUCUCUCUCUCUUCUUUGCUCUGCUCAGCCUCACCAACUCUUACAGUACCCAAACACAUCUAUUUUCUUACCUCUCUGUUUUUUUACAGUUCCUCUGUUUCCACUCUACUCAAUAGCUUACUAAAGACUCUGUUCUAUAUAAAGCUAACAGUUACAAGUCCAGAAAAGCUCAGAAUCAGAUGAGAGUACAUGAGUUUCCUCUUCUGCCUCUUUGGUGAUUUUUAGCAUUUAUUUCUCAGUCACUCGUCCUGUGUUAAUUACAUUUUCAUAACAAACAAGAGCUCUCAAAAUGGAGAGGUUCCAAGGACACAUCAACCCCUGUGUAUGUAUCUUUUGCUUAAUUUAGAAAGCUUUUACUCUCCUUUCUUCAAUCUUCUCUCUUCCCUUGAAUCAUUUUUUCUAUACUCAAGAGACAUGGACUUGCAUUUACUCAUUCUUAAGUAAUCCAGAUACUGCAUUUAAUGCUUUUGUUGUUUGUUUUCUAGAAAACAAUAACAAUUCUCCAAUCAUUUUUGCUUCCCUCUCUUUUGAAAACAUUCCAAUAUCCCUUCUACUUUCGUUUAUCACUGCCCUAACCCACCAAGUCUCUAACAAACACACAGUAGAACUAAAUUACACUUCUUUUUCAUGCUAUGCAACCUCAUUCCCCUGUGUUUCUUGCAGUUUUUGGAUCGGAAAGCGGAUGUGAGAAGCCUAGAAGUUCCAGCAUUUGCAGAGGCUCAAAGCUUUGCCAUUAAAGAAGAGGAAGCAAGCUUAUUACAAGAUACAGUUCCUUUUCUACAGAUGCUGCAGAGUGAAGACCCUUCAUCGUUUUUUACUAUCAAAGAGCCAAGCUUCCUAACGCUAUUGUCUCUUCAAACCGUCAAAGAGACUUGGGAACUCGAACGCUAUCCGGAGUUUCAUUCACCCGUUCAAUCGGAGACCAACCGCUUCCCGAUUUCAGCAUCAUCCAUGGGAGGAACCAAUCAAGCUUUUUCAAGCCAAGAACUUCCCUUUAGCCAAGCAAACAUGACACUCCCUCCUACCUCAUCACCACUCACCACAAAUUCAAGACGCAAGCGCAAACUCAACCACUUGCUGGCUCCAGAACUGACCCGAGAAAAGAGAAAGCGGAGGAAAACCAAGCCAAGUAAAAACAUUGAAGAGAUCGAGAAUCAAAGAAUAAAUCACAUUGCUGUUGAACGAAAUCGACGGCGUCAAAUGAACGAACAUAUCAGCUCCCUCCGUGCCCUUCUCCCACCAACCUACAUCCAACGAGUAAUAACAACAAAAAAACCAAAAAAAAGUUUCAACCUUUAAUCUGCAAAACCUUAUCAAAAACCCUUAAUUUGUAUUUGCAGGGAGACCAAGCGUCUAUAGUAGGGGGAGCAAUAAACUACGUGAAGGUCCUCGAGCAAAUCAUACAGUCUCUUGAAUCGCAAAAGAGAACGCAACAACGCAGUGAGGUAGUUGGAAACGCGAAGGACCAUCUCUCAGGCAUUUCGUCGAACGAGUUGUGGACGACUCGCGAAGAUCAAACUUGCAUCCCCAAAAUUGAAGCUACAGUGAUACAAAACCAUGUCAGCCUUAAAGUUAAAUGUCUAAAGAAACAAGGGCAACUUCUCAAAGGAAUCAUAUCACUCGAAAAGCUUAGACUCACUGUUCUUCAUCUCAAUAUCGCACCUUUGUCCCAUUCCUCUGUUUCAUAUUCCUUCAACCUCAAGGUAAACACUGCUCUUUCCUUUUUUUUUUACUUUAAUUAUCAUAAACCUCAAGCCCAAAUUGAAAAGAAAAAAAAAAUCCAACCUUAAAUAAGAAAAAUUAGUUUUUUCCGAUUUUGUUGGAACAGAUGGAGGAUGACUGCGACUUAGAAUCGGCCGACGAGAUUACAGCGGCAGUGCAUCAGAUUUUUGAUAUUCCGACGAUUUCAUUAAACACAUAAAAUUCCAAAACAGCUAACAAAAUUUGUAUCUUUUAUCAUUAUUAUAAAGAAGAUACCAAUUUCUUUUACUGGGAAUAAAAAUUCGUUUUUUUGUUCUUUCGUUUUCCGACUGACGGAUUUAAAUUCUGUGUUGUCCGCAUAUCAUUUGGACUGUUCGACUCAUAUUUUUCAGGUUUUGGGUGUUUUGUGAGAUUGGGGUCCUAUUUUUAUUUAAUUAACAAUGUUUGACCUUAUUCUUCUUUAUGAGAUAUUUCAUCAAUUCUGGUUUGACUUUUGUUUCUAUUUUAAGGGUUGACUUCACAAUCGUUGUCAGUCAUAAAUAGUGUGUGUCUACAAGGGUCUAUCUUAUAUACUCUGUAGCACAACAUGAUGUUGAAAUUGAAAAAGCAAUCAUUGAUCAAGUUUGCUAUAUAGCCCAGCCUUAUGAGCCUAGCGUACUUUAGUAACUUACUGAAGGGUCCACAGAAUAAGCCCAUACAGUCCAAUUAGUGAAGGAACUGAAAGUUUGGAAUUGGCACUCUUGGUAGUUGGCAUCAACAAGCUUGCAUUUUUGGUAUUUGAAGCUAUAUUUUUGAUAUUUGGCACUAUACAAUGGGGGAGGCAAAUACUUUUGGUCACACCAUCAUCAAUAUAGAGUAGUAACCGUUUCGAAAUUUCAAGGGAAACAAGGGAGGGAACCCAAAUGUUAUAGAUUUGACUCAAGCCAGAGAGCCAAGGGAAAGUUUCUUAUGUACAAUGCUGCGGUCGAUUUUCGCUAAAGAUGAGACCGACGAUGCUGCAAGUUAGAGAUGUAGUAGAGAAUCCGCUUCUUGUCGUCAGGGGUUAAUGAGAAUGGAGGGUUUAGAGAUAAGGUCACUGCUUCCUCGAUUAUAAAGGAGAGUAGAAGAAUUGCUUUCUUGUAUAAUGUUGCUGCACUUUCUUUGUUACUCAAAUACUCUUCAGCCUUAAAAACAAACAAAAAUGGAUCACCACAACAAGGAUCAGUUCAGACUUUUAGGACAAAUGGGUUGAUAAAGGUGGAAGCUUUUCACAAAAGUUUCAGACUAAAGAACUAAAGGUUCAUCUUUAUACUUACCCCACCACUCUUGCCGUAUGCUAGCGCCUUCUCAUAUAUCGUUUCCAUGGCAUCAGGCAUAUGAGUGGCAGCUGCAAUGAAGCGAAUGAUAUGCCUUCAGAUAAUUAAAAGCAUAACAGAGCAUUGCUUGGUUAGGUACUAACCACUAGUUUCGUUUAGUUGAGUCGAUGAAUUCUCAGCUUGGUUAAACGCGGUAACAAACUCUUGAGUCACCCAAGUUUUGGCUGGUACAGGUGAGUUUAAAUCUGGAAUUGAAGUCUCAGGAGCUGCGAUUGGAUCUGGGUUCACACUAUUCUCUCCAACAGAUAUCAUCCAAGAAUCGCAUAUCUCUAAGGCUUUUCUCCAGACAGCUAAAACGACGAGAGUGACAGCAAAAGAUUCCUUUACCUGUCCUGUGUUUCCCUGUAUGUAAUUGUGUUAUAGAAGUUCUAAUCAUUUAAGACGCCAGAAUUUAGAAGUUCUAAUUACCAUCUCGCCAGCUAGUUCUGUAAGCACUUGUGCAUACUGAUGCAAAUGUUGGAGCUUAGUUGGAGGAUGGACAAUUGUUAAGCGUUGAACUUCUGUUAACAGAUACGAUCCGCUUGCUGGUCGUGGAACAGACGCAUCCGAUAAUGGUCUCUGUGCUUCAAGUGAACUCAAUGAAACUUUUUCAUUCCUGGGUAAGAAAUUAGGUAACCCGGAAUUAUGCAAUGAUGUGUCGAAACAAUCUGAUGAACCUUCCAGCGAGGCAGAAGGACGGUUUACAAGAACAUACUCUCUCUCUAUGAGCUCGAGUGAGUCAACAACUGCACAAAUGACAAAAGAAAAAGAUUCUGAGUGAUAUGAACUUAUAGAAAGCAAUAGAGAUCAGACACAACAUGCGUAUAACAAACCUCCAGAUUGGUUUGAUGAGCAUUGUCCUUCAGUGUCCUUUCUAGUCUUCUCAAAAGAGAUAUGUGGCAUUAAAUUUUGAGAAAUUGGGGCACUAGAAGAACUCCCAUGUUUGUAGACGUUCUCUGCACUUGAUUUUAAACGGUUUGUACUAAUCGGUUGUGCGGAGGGCAACGAUGAUUUUCCCAUAGAGGUAGUAGUAUCAGAAUGCUCAACAUCCGGCACUUGUCUAACAAUAUUUGGUAUGACAGAUUAAGCAGAGAAAGUUUAAAGCUUUAUUAAUGAAGGUUGCGAGUAGUUUAGUCAAAAUCUCCAGACAUUACCUUGGCUCUCUAAGGAACAUGUGAGUAAAGAACUCUCGGAAUGUCAAGCGUUCAACUGCAGUCAAAAGAACAGAUUUUCCAAUGAAAAUUUUGAGUUGUAACUUGAUUAGAUAAAAUAAAAUAAAAACAAAGAGAAUCCUAUAACACUACUUGGGUUUCGGCGGAGAAGACUUCUGCACAAAUCAACACAAUCUGGAUGAAUCUCCUUUACAGAAUCUUCAGGAAAUUUCAACUCAGUGUCUCUCACAAUAUUAUGAAAAAGCUGUAGAGAUCAGGCAUCAAAGAAUAGUAAAGGUCACAAUAAGUUCAAUAGAAGUUCACAUAGGAGACAAUUCAAUCGAUUUAGGCAAACAAACCUGGAUGUGAUUAUUUCCAUCAAACGGUGGUUUCCCAGUAACAAGUUGAAACAAAAUUGCACCGGCACUCCAUAAAUCAGCCUGAAACAUUCAUGACACAAGAAAACAAUGAGAAGAAACAAAAAAAAAUUGAAAGGUCAAAUAUUUUCUAAAACUGUAUACGUUUCCUCACCUUAGCAUCAUACUUUUGGUUUCGGAUAAUUUCUGGAGCCAUAUACAAUGGAGAACCGCAAAAUGUUUCAGCCAUGCUCUCUGGUGUUAGAGACCUACCAAAAUAAAAAUAACAUACCAAAUGGUGGAUAUAUCACCACACUAACACCUUUUCCAUAAAAAGCAAACAAUUUUUUUUUGAGAUAUGAGAUCUAAAUCUUACCUUGCAAACCCAAAAUCUCCUAUCUUUAGCAAUGGAGUUACUUCCUUGGAAGAUAAAAGUAAAUUCUGCAAAAAAAAAUUGAAGAACAAUAAUUACUCUUUUUACAAAUGCAAAAAAAUCGAGAGAGAGUCAAGUGAGUUUUGAAGUUACCUGAGGCUUUAAAUCUCGGUGAAUAAAAUGCUUCUCGUGAAGUACUUGCAACCCUAAAGCUACACAACAAAAACAGAGAUUCAAACAUCAAUGCCAAAUUACACAAACAUGGAAAAAAAAAAAAACACCCAAACGAAAAGCAUAGAGAUUGUGUUUACCCAAUUGCCUCAUAAAAUGUUUAGCAACAGCUUCUGGAACUUUGCCAUGGCGAUUGAUGUACCCAGCAAGAUCACCUCCACUGCAAUACUCCAACACAAGAUAUAUCCUAUCCCCAGUCUACAAAAUUCGAAUCAAUUUUGAAUCUCAAUGAAUCCCAAAAUUCACUCUUACUAGAGGAAAAAAGAAAGAGAAUUGAAACCUCGAUAGAUUCGUAGAAUCGGAUGAUGUUGGGAUGAUCGAUGGUGCGAAGGAUCGAAAUCUCUUUAAGAAGAUUAUCUCUAACUUUAGGGCUAAGAAGUUUCUUAUCAAUCUCUUUGACGGCGACUUCAAAACCAGAGGAUCGAUGCUUCGCUAACCACACCACAGCGAACGAACCAGACCCGAUUCUCGGGCCAAGUUCGUAGUCACCCACAAGUCGUGCCGACUCCAUCAGGGUUUUGACCCGUUAGACUUCCGGAUCCUUACUUGGAUCAACCUCCAUUGUUUCUAACCAAACCUCUCUCUCUGUCUCUCAGUGGCCAAAGAAGAAAAAUCGAAACUUUCCCCAACUGUUUUUGUUUAACGAAAAGGAGACGAACAAGUGAAUUCAGAUUUUAUUUAUAUUACAUACAUACACAGUAAAGCAAUCGGUCACCUUCUUUUUUUUUUUCGUUCUCUUUUGUGUUUGUGUUUGUGUAUAUAGAGAGAGAGAGAGAGAGAGAGAGAGAUUUGGUUUUAGGCUUUUAGCUUAUGAGCAAAGAGUUUCUUACUUGUAGUCCAGAAGAAACCUUCUGAAAUUGACGUCUUCUAUCCAAAUUCCACCAGGAAAAUUACGUCGCAAAUAUCUCCGAAUAUUACCCUUGUUUUCUUUUUAUUUUAAAUAUUAACAUAUUUAAAAAAAAAAGAAAAAAACAUAUUUUAAUUUUUGCCUUGUUAAUCAAAAUUUUAGUAUUAUGAAAAAUCUACCAAAACUAUAGCUUUACAACAAAAAAAAAAAAAAAUCUAUAAGUUGUGUCAACAGUAUAUCUCAAAAUACGGUUCUUUUCUCUCUUUUUUUCUUAUACUAAAUUUUGUUAGUUUGAUAAAUUUAUGUUAACUUUUUAGAUUCAAUGAAUAUCUCUUUAAAGCAUUUCAAGAUUUUAUAUUCAGAAAAAGGGGUUAUACCAGUAUUGUCAUAGUUACAAUUUAAAGUCGAUAUCUUUUUUACAUAUAAACGUUGUUUCAAUGUCAAAAUAAAAACAUAGAUGUUAAUGUUACCACUAAUAAGUAAUAACUAAGAUUUAAUCAUGAUUUGGAGUGACGUAUAUGAAUAUUUAUAGUUUUACGGAUAUGCUAUAGAAAUUAUUUAAAUGCAUAGCUUAUCGCUAAUGACUAUUUCAAGAUGAUCCUUCUUUGGUACGGUGAUAGAUAAUCUGACAAAACCUGAACUGAUGAUUAAACAAAUAGUUUGUCGAUGCCACAUCAGCCAUUGACCUGGCACAAUCAAUGUCACUGGGACCUGCUCUAAUUAUCAUGAAGUUAAUUAAUUAUCACGUGAACGUGCCACGUAACUCAAACCACAAGGUAAGCCCAUUAGAGCCGUAGCUUAGGCCCAACAUUGUUUGAAAACCAAUAGAGUAACUAGGUUCAUAUUAAGCCACCAAACGGAGGAGUUUAAGAAACGACCCACAAUUUAAGAGUUUAUGAGAGGCCACUAACGGGCUUUUGACCCAUAUUAGUUGAGCCGAUGAAACAAUCUCAUAUAUUCCACAGAAACAAUAAAUAGUACUACUCCUGAGAAACAAAGAUUGAUAAAAAUCACAGUUUCGUGUAUGGUGGGAAGAAGGGAAAGCGACUAAACCUAAGAAACAGAGAUAGAUGAGAGAUUUGUCAAGGGACAAUGGAGUCUCUUUAAUCUUUAUCUAUCGUCUUUAUUUGGUUGGACCACCUUCACCUUCCUCUUCAUUACAAUCUUUCAUAUACGUAUGUACCCAAAUCUUUCAGACCAAAACUUAUAUUUAUAUCCGCAACAAAAAAGAUUUAUAAUAUAUGGUCCAAUGAUUUUUGUAGUAGUUAAUUGCGAGUGUCAAGGGUAGUGAUGAGUUAUGUUUAAAUCCAUGAAUCUCCAAGACUCCAACUUAAAAUUAAUGUUGACUAUAAAAAUGUAUGUAUGUUGUAUAGUUUUUAUUUUAGGUCACUUCUCCACUUAAUUCAGAUGACGAUUUUCUAACAAACUCUGUUGUAUUCCGGAUCAAUAACGCAUGGUAAACUGCCAUGAAUUGGUUUUAGCAAACAAAGACGUUUGCAGAGGGCUCGAAGUAAUAAUUUCUUGAAAUAAUGCGAAGUUUUGUCCCGAUCCAACUCCACACUACAUAUUACUGUCAUGUCUUAUGUUAUUACAUGCCAUGUGCAUGUUAUAUGUGUAAGUGUAGUUAACUAUGGAAGCAGUCAAUAAUGCAUGAAUGUGUUAUAUAUAGCAUAGCUAGCUAGAUGCUGGGAUCAUGAGCUGACUUUUGCAGCUAUUGCAGAGUAUAUCAAAAGGAGUGUCUAUGUAUAUAUAUACUAUAUAGAUAUGUAUGUAAGAUGAGCAGUAGAUGUGAAUAUUCUAACACGUGUUGUUCUUAUAUAUAUAAUAGUAAAGAAUAUUCUGAUAUAUAACAAAAAAAAAAAUUCAUAGAAUUCAAACUAAUAAUUAAGACAUAUCCAAUUUUUCAUACAAUUGAAUAUCUCCCUUUUAUGCAGCUAACUUGGGCUUUGUUUCUCCUGCAUCCCUCUCUCUCCCUAUGCAAACCUAACCCCACACCUUCAUAUUCAUAUAUUUUGCAUCUAUAUUUUUCUAAUCCCAUCUGUAUUUUUUCGUCUUCUUUCUUAUGUUUUAUUUUAAGUCCAUAUCAAUUUAUAACACCCUACCACACCAAAUGUACUUUUUAAAAUAAAUUUAUGCAUGAAUGGUCAUCGUGUGUGUGUAUGCGGACCGUUAAGGUUAAUUAAGAGAUGAAACCCAUCGAUUUAAUUAUGUCUUAAAUUGUUUUUUUUUUGUUGUUGUUGUUAUUGUUAAAAUACAUGCCUUAAAUUGUUAUAAAGUUACUAUUUCCAUCUAAUAAUAAAGUUUGCACUACUUGUUCAUCUUGAAACGAAUAGUUUCACACUAUUAAGGAUCUGGUUGAGUCUAGCUAACAGAUCAUUCUAACUGUAUAUUUCUGAGGAGUUGAUUAUAAGCAAAAUCACAUGGUCUUAAAAUGUUUUUUUUUGUUGUUGUUGUUAAAGUACAUGUCUUAAAUUAUUAUAUGAUAAAGUUAUUGUUUCCAUUUAAUAAUAGAGUUUUCACUUGUUCAUCUCGAAACCAAUAUAGCUAGUUUCACGAAUUAAAUAUGUGGUUGCGUCGAGUAUCAAAUCAUUCUAACGAUAUCUCCCAAUUGGAAUUAAUAGAUUAAAAACAAAAACUAAUGGUCUUAUAUACAUAUAUAUACAUAUAUAUAUUUCAUUAGAGAUUUUCUAUUCUUUUCAAUAUAAGAUUCCUAUAAAUAUAAAUAAAUAACUAUCUAGGUUAGUUGAAUUGUUCUAAGAGAUACAAUAUUCUUGAAGGGGAUGAAAUAAUCAAAUUAAACAAAAUUCGAGAGAAGAAGAACCAGUAUCAAUGCUGAAAACGUAUAAAGCCUUUGCUAUCAUAAUAAAAGCAAUUCGGAAUUAGAUACCAAAGGUAAAGAUUUUAUAAUCUAUUUAUAUACUACAUGAAACUUUUACAAGAGACCCAUGCUAUAUUUAAGUAAUGUUUUAAAAGAAUUAAAUUAAGUUAUCUAUUGUAAAUUUAUAAUAAAGAGACGACGACGAAAGGGUUGGCUAGGGAUAGAGAAAGAGGGGUGAGUCCUAGACCCUGGGGAGGGCCAAAUGACAGUUGGAAAAUGUUGUCGCCAUUAUCGCACCAUCCUUCAAUUUUUGUUAUAAUUAUUAAUUGUUACUAUUAAAUAAAAUGGUCCGACAUUUUUUUUAUAUUUCACCACUAUUAUCUUUGAUCGCGACUUAUCGUAUCCAUAUACAAUCAAAUAUUUUUGUUAUUUUUUGUGCUUUUGCUUACCUCUCCCAUAAUAUGGUCGCGGCAUAUAUAACAUUCGAUACUAUAUUUGAUUAACACGGAUGUACAGUGUCGCUCCGGUCCAAAAUUAUAUACACAAGAAAAAAUGAAAAUAAAAAUAAAAAUGGGAAACCCUAAUGUUUUUUUACUAAAAGCACACCUCAAUCAUCAAUAUUAUAUAGAGAGAAUUAUGCAUCAUCCCUUUCUUCGUACGACGCUUAGUUAGUUAUUAGCUUAGUCCUUCGGUUUACGAAAAUGUAGACCCUAACUAAGAUCAAUAAAAGACUACUUAUAAUAGAAAAUUUGAAAUGAGGGAGAUAGACUCUAGUGGGAGAAAAAAACAUAUAUAAAUAGGGUUAGUUAGUAAUGGUGUGGUGUAGGUGUGGAAGAAGGAAAUAGAUAAAAAAGAGCAAGUAGACAUUAAAAAGAGUUAAGUGACAAUACAAAGCUAAUUGGGUUUACUCUAUUUAUUAAGUAGUGGUCCUUACCCUAAACUCUUCUUUUAAUACCCCUACCUCACAUAUCUCCAUACAUCAUACUUCUCUCUACCUCCAUCUUCUUCUUCUUCUUCUCUAUUUUUUUUCUAAUUAAACCGCACGAUUUCAGAUAUUUCUGAGUUGUACAAUAUAUAGUUUUUGGGUCUAGUAUGGCAUCGAAUUUGUUUACAAAUAAGUGAAAUAGUUCUAAAGCAUAGCACUCAUCACUCCGUUAGUUGUUUAAUUUUCUCAUGAAACGAAUAUAUAUUGAACAACAAGAGAAUGAAUAUAUAUAGUUGAGUAGAAAGAAGAAGAAUAAAGCUGAUUCUAACUCCUAGCUAGCUAAUGUGCACAUUAUGAUAUCAAUAUGAUAUCGUCUUCUCGAUCCAUAUAUAAUUGAUAAGCCCACAUAUAUCUAUGAUGACAAUGUUAGUUUUUGCAUCUGAGGGUGCAAUUCAAAUUCAAAUACUAGAAUGAAAAGAUUUAUGGAAUAAUAAUAUAUACAACUAUAUAUAUGUAGACAGGUCCCGUGGCUAUAAGGGUAUAUGCUUUGAAAAGGGCGACGCUACGACGUCCUCUUCCUAAUUUCUAUAAAACUAAACAUUUCAUAUUUUGUUUUCACCAUUUUUCAGAAUUUAGAAAUAAUUUGUUGUAUUCGUCAUUAUUAAUUUGCAGAGAAACACAAAAAGAAAUCCCACUGGCCAGCCGGAUAGAGUAAUAAUAUUUUGGACCGAUCGAUCAAUUUCUUGUGAAUUAAUGAAUUUUAAUUUUUGGGACAUUAUGUAUGAUAUAUCAUGAAAUAAAGAAAAGCAAAGGUGGGUGAGUACAUAUAUAUACCUAUCAUACUAGCCAAGCAUAUAUUAUAAGUUAAUAUAUAUUUGAUGAAGUCUCUAAUAAAAUUAAGAACCAUCAAACCAAGAGAAAAAGAACAGGUUAUCGCCUGAAAGCUUUGUGACCACUCAAUUAUGUAAAUGUGAGAUGAGAGUUUGGACCACAUUGAUCAAUGUUCUUUCAUGAGUUUCACCUACUACUCUUCAAUCCUUUUUUAUUUUAUAUAAAAGAAAACAUCUAACCUUUUUGUUCUAGUUUAAAUACAGCCUUAAUUUAGACUUGCUUAAUUGAAAUAGUUCUCCCUUAAUUAAGCCGAAAUUAGCCAUCGAGACAUGAAUGAUGCUUUGUCUCUUUCAGGACCACUCACACCACCAUAUGUACGUAAGGAACGAUAAGAUUUAACAUGAAUUUACGCGAAACUUUUAAAAACAAAGCUUAUUAUUACAGUUUUUUUUUCUCAUUUGAAGGGGUCAUGUGAAUGCCACGUGUCUUAUUCUAGAACAACAUGUGUAUUAUGUAGUAAUGUUUACGUGAUGUCGGUCUAGAUAAUGAGCUGUACACAAAACUAAACAUUUUGAAUCGGUUUCUGUUUCAUUUUGCAAAAAUAUUAAAACCGUUAUAAACAAAUGAACUAUACUAAAAAAAUUUCCAUCCCUAUAACUCUAGAUACUUUGGUCGGUCCACGAGUACUACACUAUAAUUUCUUUAUUUUAUUUCACGUUAUAUGAAAAUGAAUAAAGAUUAAAGCAUGGUUUAUGUUAACGUAUAAAUCCUUUUUGUAGCAUUUUUAUUCGUAAUAAUAAAAUCUAUAAGUGAAACUAAUAGCAUGAGAAAUUCAUUACUAUAGUAACCAAUUGGAGGAAAACAUUAAAAUGAAAAUGAAAAUAUCAGCCCACCAUUUCACAGUCGCAAAUGGUGAUGAAUCGCUUUCAUCUGGUUUUAAAAGUUCGAGGAGACGGAAGACAAUUCUCCGUAAUACAACUUAUUAGAUCUUAUCUGUAUUAGGCACAGCAAUAUACAAAAAAGAAAAAAAAAAGAAACGGAAUCUAGCUAGGUCCGUAAAUUGUAAUCAUGGUUUCCAAAAAGAGAUGGGUAUGAGUUUAAGUCGUCAGGUCCUAACUUUUCUCUUCGAGUAAACUUGUUACUUGUUAGGUUCAAACUUGACAGCCCCAAAGUUUUAAUUGUAGCCACUGUGUCACAUAUGCAUACAUUACAUAUGCAUUCAGUCAUACAAACGUAUAUAUAUAUAUAUUUUUUUUGUCAAAUACUUACUAUAUACACGAGUUUUUACACUUAUUUAUUCGCAGUUAAAUAGAUGUGUGAAUAAUUGAUUUUCAAAAGAGUGAGGGCAAACCAAAUAUAUAUAUAUAUAUAUAUAUACAUAUAAAGUCAACAGUAAAGACCAAACCUGUAAAACGACAUGUCAUUCUUGUCCUUGUAAAAGCAGAUUGAGGCAACCCAUCCCCAAAAAAAAUAAAAAUAAAAGCCUUACCACAGACCUCAAUAAUUAGCAUUUAUGUUUUAACUGUUCAUAAAAAUCCAAUAGUCUUCUGUUAAUUGUCAACCCAAAACAACUGUAUCUCAUAUACAAUUUUUAUGACACAUUAUUACUAUAUAUUUCAUAUAUUACAUUUUCUUUAAUCUUCUUGUGAAUGAUAUAAUAUGCCAUUUCGAUCGUUUUCUCAUUUUCAACAAUAUUUUUACGAGUUUCUCUCUUUAUAUAUAUAUAUAUAUAUUCACUGACUAUAUAUGUCUAUAACGUUUUGGAGAAUGUAUAUUAUUAUACGUAGAUAAUUUUUGGAGUGUAAAUCAAAACAUAUUACGGGAAAAGAAAAGAAAAAGGCCAAAUAAAAGUAAAUGAAAAUGUCCAUAUGGAGAAAAAUGGAACGAGGAUGGUAGAAAAAGGACAAGAAGCUCACAUGAACAGAACCAGAUUGUUCAUGGGCCCCCCCCCCCCCCGCCCCAUCUCUCUCUUCUUCUCUCGACCCAUAUCUCUCUCUAUCAAUCUUCUUAUAUUACAUGAGCUCUCUCUCUCUCUCCCUUUUUCUUUCUCUUUCUCUUCUCCUUCCUUUCUUGUUCUUGAGAGAUUUGUUCCUAACUUGCUUUAUCUUUCUUGGCAUCCAAGAGCUUCUCUUUGCUCCAUAAACAGUAGAGAGAGAAAGCUUCAAAUCAAGAAGAGAGGUCAGAGAGAAUAAUCGUGCUAAAUCAGGUGAAGUUAGGCUUAAAAAAAAACCCACUACUUGCCAUUUUUGUAUAAUUAGGUCAAUCUCAUCCACCACCAUACUCAAUUCUCCUCCUUUUUUCCUCAAUUCUCAAUCUUUUAGGGUUUUAUCUCUUUCUCUCUAUCUCCUUCUUUAAUUUCUUGUCUACCAAAAAAGAUUGAACUUAUUUCGAAUCGUAUGGUGAGGAAGUGGAAAUCUUGAAAAGAUCUGAGAGAUUUAUUUAUUCCGCAAAAAAAAACAAGAAGAUCGAUGAAUAUUCAAGAAGAAGAGAAACCUAUUAAUGAAGAAGCUUCUAAUUCAUCAAUGGAGAGAGAGCACAUGUUCGACAAAGUAGUAACACCAAGCGACGUAGGUAAACUAAACCGACUCGUGAUCCCGAAGCAACACGCAGAGAGACACUUCCCUCUAGAUAACUCCACAUCAAACGACAGCAACAAAGGGUUGCUUCUAAACUUCGAGGAUCGAAGCGGAAACUCAUGGAGGUUUCGUUACUCUUACUGGAACAGUAGUCAAAGCUAUGUCAUGACUAAAGGUUGGAGCCGUUUCGUCAAAGACAAGAAGCUUGAUGCUGGAGACAUCGUCUCUUUCCAGAGAGACUCCGGUAAUAAAGACAAGCUCUACAUCGACUGGAGGAGACGGCCUAAGAUUCCCGAUCAUCAUCAUCAUCAUCAAGCUUCUCAUCAUCCAUUCGCCGGAGCUAUCUUUCCUAGGUUUUACACUUAUUCUCAGUACCCUCAGAUGCCGACAAAUUACGAAAGCCACAACCUCUAUCAUCGAUUUCAUCAACGAGAUCUAGGAAUUGGCUACUAUGUGAGGUCAAUGGAGAGAAGUCAUCCAACGGCUGUGAUUGAAUCUGUACCGGUGAUGAUGCAAAGGAGGGCACAAGUGGCUUCGAGAGGAGAGAAGAGGUUAAGGCUGUUUGGCGUAGAUAUGGAGUGCGGAAGCGGCGGGGGCGGAGGAAGUGUGAAUAAUAGUACGGAGGAAGAGUCGUCAUCUUCCGGUGGUAGUAUGCCACGUGGCGGCGUUUCUAUGGUUGGUGCUGGUUCUCUCCUCCAGUUGAGGUUAGUGAGCAGUGAUGACGAGUCAUUGGUAGCAAUGGAAGCUGCAAGUCUUGAGGAUCAUCACUUCUUUACAAAGAAAGGAAAGUCUUCCUUGUCUUUUGAUUUGGAAACAUGAUUAUGAGACUAAACACUAGUUAAAAUACAAAUAUAUAUGAUCAUUUAUACAUAUAUAUUAUAUAUAUGACACAAAUAUGUCGUCUUUCAAGAUUUAAUGAUAAUUAUCAAGAAAUUACAUGUGUUUUUAAAGAUUCGAAAAUUGUUAUAGUUUUGAUUCUGAUUUGAAGCUUUAAUUUCCUAUAAUGAGUCUCUAAUUCAACUUUGGCUGGUCGGUGUUAUACAGAACAGAACUUUGGAUAGCUAGGGAUCAGUGUAAAACUUAAAAACCCAUGUCCCUCAAGUCAGAAACUAAUCAGAAGAUAUGGGCUGUCUUAUAAAAGUGAAAGUGUGUAUAUAUGUAUAUAAUAUGUGAUUGCAGCAUUGUGUAUAUAUAAUGACAUUAAAUGUUUAUCAAUUUUUUUAUUAUUUUUUUGUCUUCUGUUAUCAAACUUUUUUUUACCUUGUUUAGUUUAUUUGAUAUGGCUGCUGUCCUGUUACUGCUGCAUUUUCUGAAGCUGUUGCUUCUGCUUAAUUAGUCAAGCAGAUUUUGCAGCUUGCAGUGAGAUGGGCAGAGACAAAACUGGAUAUUUUCUUCAUUUUACUUUUUUUUAAAAUAUAUACUCUCAUGAGUUUUAUUUUAUUUUUCAAAAGAAGAGCUUUUUUCAUCUAGGUAAGAUUGAAAAGGUAUGAUCUGUUUUCACAGAUACUGCUGAUGCAUUAACUGUUGGAGAAAGUAAAUGAAUUUUAUUUUUAAAAAAUUGUUUUCUCAGUUAACAAACUGGUUUCUUGUCUGGACCAUUGAACAACUCACACACAUAUAUAUACAGGCAGGGAUUGUUAAUGUUAGGUCUUGUUCGGUGUGACCAUAUGCGUGUGAUCAAUUUCUAUAGCUGCAUUCCAUUGUUAGUCUCACGAGUUUUUAUUUCAAGAUGAAAUUAACUCAACCAUAUAUUAAUCAUUAUACAUUGUGAUGCUAGUUAUAGAUUUAAUAUGUACACCCAGGCAAUUGAUUUUAUAUGGUAUAUAUAUAUGUAUAUAGAUAGUGUGUAUACAUGUUCUUGUUUUUGAUUAUUUGUGCAUAUUUAUAGUCAUAAUUCACAAACAUCAAUUAGCUUAUAUAUUGUCAUUAUAGUCUAUGUAUAAGCUACUUAAAGAUGAGUUAAAAUUAUAUUUUCACAGCUGUAGAUUUGUACGGUGAGCCUUAGUGCAGUAGAAUGUCACAACAAAAUUAAAAAUUGAAGUUUACGUAUACGAAUCUUAUAUUCAUACAAGCUAAUAAAAACUAAAGCCUUUUAGACGGGUUGAACAAAAAAAAAAGAAGGUAUUUUAACUGUACAUAUUUGUAAUAUAUAUAUAUAUAUAUGACCAUGAAUGCAUGCAAUGCAAGGAUGAGCUUGUAUGGAAAGAUACAUACAUACUUUGGUCUAAUAUUUCACCAUAUUAUCAACAGAAAAUUAAUUUAUGUAUGUAUAUCUAAUUAUGCAUAAUACUUUGGUCUAAUAUUUAUUUGAGUUAUGUCGUAUGUAUAUCUUAUAUCUAAGUGUAGCAGUGUAUGUAUAGGAAUUGCUAUUUUUGUGAGGAAUCUUAACUUGCAAAAGGGAUAGAAAUCUAUAGAUUUAUAGCAUUUGUAUUUUGUAGUUCGUUAAACUAAGCAAAAAAGCAGGAGCAUGUCAGGUAAAGUCAUUAGCCUAUUCAUACCAUAGCUGUGAAAAGAAGGCCAUCGAAAUCAGCGAGGGCUAUAUAUAUACCUAUAAAUUACAUAAUGUAAUCAUAUAAUUGCCUAUAUACGUGAAGAGCGUUUGAGAUAUUAGACGGACCUAUGAAUAAUGAUUAUGAUUUGUUUUCAAAGAAAAAAAAAAGAAUAAUGACUAUGAUUUGUCAUGAGACACGUACCCGCCUCCCAAAAGAAAAGUAAUAAUUGAUUUUAAAAGGCAGCUCUUGGCGAUAAAUUAACUAAAAUUUCCAAGAAAAAAAAGAAAUUAAGCAUCCUACUUUGGAGAAUUAAACUUUCCUUAAACCCAAUCUUUUGUAUCCAUGGCAAAAAAGAAAAAAUCAUUUGGACAAAAGAAGCGGUAAGAAAUACUUUAAAGUGAACCCCUAACCUAAUGUUUUUAGCCAUGUUAAUGACCACCAAGCCAUGGUGUUGCUGACGUUGAUCAAGCCAUGGUCUUGUUGUAUUAAACUCAUGAUUCUCAGUUGACGACAGAGUCCUCAAUUUCUCGAAUUUCAAACUUUGCCCUAGAAACCCAACAAUUUCUUUUAUAACUUCUUCGCCGGUCAUCCCUUCCACCACCUCAUCGACCAUCCUCGUUGUUGUCCAUUAGCACCAAUCUGAGCGUCACAUACAAUUUUCAGUUAAGGAUCUCUUUUCUAACUAAACUGACACCGAUUAGUACUUUGACGGGAUUGUUUGUACGGGGUUUAUACCUAAUGGAUAUAUAGUUCGGCAUUUUUGUGUUACAUACUAUUUCAUACAGUGACACAAUUGAGACAUACCAAUUAUUGUUUUUAAAAAAAAAAUUAAAAAGAAAAUGUGAAUCGGUCUAUUGUGUCUAUUGUUCCGAGUGUAAACUUUACUAAUCAGAACCAAUAUUUGAAUUUCAGUAUCCAAGAUCAAGACUUUGUUUCAAAGACGAUUAGGCUCUCGUUAUAACUUAUACCACGUUUGAAAGGGUGUAAUCGUGAGAGAUUUCACUAUACAUAAUUGGUUGUGUUUUCCCCGGUGCAUUGUCAUUUAUCGAUUAGGAAUCAAUCACCAAUGAGAGCGAAAGCAGAACGUAAAAAAAGCCUUCUUCAAUUAAACAGAUGAUUGGAAAUACUUCGCUGGAGUUAGAGAAAGAAAGUAUUCACAUUUGGGUAGCUAGUAUUCUAGUUCAAGGGAUCAUGUCUAAAAGUUGAAACCUUUAUAUGCUCAAUCUCCAUGGAUAAGGUCUCAAACCACUUCUACUACCAAUGGCAGAUCCAUCAAGUAUCUGACAAAGGGUUUUACUUGAAAACAAACCAAACGAAGAAGAUAUCUAAAGCAAAGACUCAUCAUUUAAAGGAAACCAAUAUGAACUCUUCCUAUGCUCAAUCUCCAUGACUAGUACCAAUAGCAGAUCCAUCAAGUUAUCUGGCAAAGGGUUUUACUUGAAAACAAACCAAACAUAGAUGAUAUAUAAAGUAGUUUGUCCAAAAAAAGAAGAUAUAUAAAGUAAAGACCAGCAUGAACUCUGAUAGUGUUGAAAGAAUUAAGCAUCUGUCUGAUCAAAUCUUCAUAUAAUGUAAUGCAACAGAAUCGAUUACAUACAUAUUUAUAUAGUACGUACACAAAGCAAAACAAUACUCAAGUUUACACAUACAAACUCAGGACGUGUGAUCUAUCUCAAAGCACAUGUGCUCUGUAAAGUUAUGACUAAACGCUACGAACGAAAUGGAAAUAAUCAAUUCCUUCUCUACUUCCGCCAUAAACUCUCAGAUAUCAGAACACACCAACGAGAAGAGAGAGCCCGAGCAAGAAAAGCCAGACAAUAUGAAUCAACAACAAAGCUUGUCCUGGAACAGAAGCACUUCCAGCAUUACCUGUAUCACAAGCUCCUGUUUUGAUUACACGAGCGCCAUGACAAGCUGCGUCAGGACAACCGCACCAGUACGUGACUCCAUCGGCUCCACAAACCGGAUCCGCCCGGAAACAGUUAAUUGGGCAUCCACCCGGAUCAGAAUCCCCGGAGCAUACGCCGCCGCCGCCGGAUUGAUCUGGAAGAUCAUCGGCGGCUUGUAACCCGAUCAAGCAGAAAGCUAAGAAAAGGAAAGGAAUGGUCAGUGAUAGCGAAGACAUCAAUCGAAUUGUUGAUGAUGAUGUUGAAGAGAGGUCUUCUUAAACCCAGAAAUCUAUUCCUCCAGAAAAACCCUAGAGAUUCGUGGUGAAGGGAGUCGAGAUUUCUGAUUUGCUUAAUGAUUGAAACCCUAAUUUCAUGAAAUUUGGGGAUUUUCUCGAGAGAGUUAGCGUAACCGUGUUGUUUGAAUUGGUGGUACAGCUGGUCCACCUACCGAGUGAAGUAAAUUAUUGAGACUACGCGAAGUUUUUCAUUUAAGCAAUUAAACGUCUUGCCAUUUAUUUCGACGACGUCGUAUUGAUACAUGUUAAGCAACUUCGAUUUGCUUCGAAAAUUCUAAACCAGAUUUUACGGGUAGAUAAUUUUGGAAAUAAGAAAACAUGUUUGAUUCAAGUCAUAUUUUCGGUUUAAACCACUAUAUUUUGUUUUAACUUUUAACAUCAACCACUAAACUUGAUUCGUUAACGUUUAACAUUACAAACUUUAUAACAAAGCUAUAUAACCCUAAAAGUGUCUCCCAAUUGCUCCCUUAUCACUUGUAGUUGAUGAGUCUUCUCAGUUUUAAACUGAGAAUGGGUUCAGAAUAAAAGAACUGUUUCACUAUCCUGAAAUAUAUCUUGGCUUCACCGAUCCUUUCAUGUUUCAAAAGACUUCUCUCUUGGAUCAGUUUCACUGUGACCCGAGUGUUUCUUCCUGAUGCUUUAUCUCUUGCGGCAUAUCGUCAUGCCAUCGCCGAUUGGUACCUAAUGCACAAAGAAAGGUGAAAAACUGAAGAGCUCGUUGUGUUGGGACUUGGGAGAGUACAGUGAGAGAAUCCAGAAAGAAAAAAAACUCACCAUACUAAUGCUUACACGUUUAUCGCCCAUUAACUUUUUGUUGAAAUUCCUAAUGCUGAUGGUCUUUGCAUCAUUCACCUGUUGGUUUAGGAAUAUGUAAUUAUGAUCUUUCUUCUCAUUCGAGAAGCUUUUAGAGCAUGGUUGUGUUUAUGUAAGAUGCAUACCAUAGGAUCCGUAACUCGUCCAUGCCAAAGAACAUUAUCCAUCACAAUGACUCCACCAACUCUGACCUGCGUCAGCAGAUAUAACCGCUAAAGAUAACCUAUGGAAAGAGACUAGCAAGUUGUGAUUCAUCUUACAAGUUGAAGAAGCAAUUCGAAGUAAUCCUGAUACAUCCUCUUAUCAGCAUCGACAAAUGCAAAAUCGUAACUGCAAGCAAAAGAAGCUGAAAUUUUAGGGAAGCAUUUCAAAUCGAGCCGAGCCACCCUCAACGCUACAAUGAAAGAAGCUUACUGAAUAUACCUGGAUUCUUCACCAUUCUGAAUCAUGGAUUUCAAUGAUUCAGCCGCAAGACCAUGUUUCACAUUAACCUGACUAGAGCAAACAAAUCAAAGAAUCAUACAGCUGUUCGUAAAUGAAUCUAUGUUGAGGAACCAUGUUACAAGGAUAGUAUCAAUAUUUACAAGAUAAGGUUCGAACAGUCGCAAACGAAAAAAGAAUAAAACAGUAAAUCUUUCGUGCAAUUGAAUGGGAUAUUUUUUCGGUCUCACCUUGUGAGAGACUCCGGCAAGGUCGUAGUACCUCUUAGCAACUUCAAGAGAGUUAGAAUCUCUUUCACAGGCAACUAGACACCCUGAUUCCGGUAGCACUAACGCCACAGCCAAUGAAGAAUAUCCCUAUCGAAAACACGGAAAACGGCUGCGAAUUGCUGCUACUAUUCUCAUAAAGAUAACAGUGCUCAUAAAACUCAUAGGAAGAAGAUUAAACACCGUGUAAACUCCAACUUCAAUACAUCUUUCUGCUCCAUGAAUCUGUACAAGCAUUGCAAGCAGUUGCGCUUGAUCAGGCGACACCUACAGCCAAAACCAAACGCAGUUUACUACUAAAUUAGCUUACUAGUGUCAAGAACAAAAACAAUAUAAUCCAUUUUUUUAUAGAAAAAGCUAAUUCAAAAUUCCAAACAAAUAGAGCAUAAAAUCAGAGAUCAUCCACAAGCUGAAAGCAGUAAGAGAACCUAAUCCAGUGAAAUUGUUACCUGCAUUUGACUCCCUCGCAUUUUGGAAGUCUCUUCUCUAAGUUGCCUCAAAAUCUAAAAAAUAAUCAACCAAGUAACUCUCUACAGAUAUGAGGAAACGGAGGACGAAAACCAAAGCAGAGGAGGAGUUUACACAAACCUUAGGCUCGCGUACGUUGGAGAUGACAUAGUCGUAAAGGCGAGGAGUGAGACUAAUAACCUCUUUGUUACCGUACUUCUCGUCGUCGGACAUAACAAAAGGACUCGCCACUGUCGAGCAGUUCCCGAUCAGCCGGCGACUGAAUUUCAAACUCCUGACGGCGGAGACCGUUGGCCGGUUAAGUAAAGUAUCGGCCGCUCUACAUACCGAAAUCGAACAGCGAUUCAGAGCUAAACCGGUCGACAUCUUCUGCUUCCCCCAAACUCAAAGCGUAACGGAACUCGAAAUCUAUCUGCGUGACUGCGUCUGCUCUAACCAACCGGGUCGGGUCAUUAUGAUGUUGAAACGGGUUGAUGGUAUAUCGAAGAUAAAAAUAAUUUAUUCGUUUAUUAAAUUAAGUCAUAAAGCCCUUAAUAUUUGAAAUAUCUCUCACAGGUAGAUUGUAAACUUAUAUUAGUUUUUAUAAAUAACCCUUAUGUUCGGAAUUAAACAAAAAAAAACACACACACACACACACAUACUGUACUUCAAUUUCUUCUCCAAUUUGGAAUUUUGAUCGAAUGAUAAAUCUUAUACUACCAGAGAUUAUGGUAUCAAAAUUUAUGCAUAUUUUUAGAUCAUAGACAAUUUGUGGUGACUAAAACAACACGUAAAACAUAUGCCAGUCUCCUAUUUGAUCUAGCAAAUAAAUUGCUACUAAAACUAAAGUACAGAGUCACUUUGUUGUAAAUGAUAUCAUAUCAUCAUUCCAUCUACAAAGUGAUUUUUUAUGCCAAAGCUUCUUUGUACAUGAUAUUUUCAUCUGUCGUGAGAGAGUAUAUUAUUACAUGUGGUAGAGAGAUCUUCCAAUCGUAUGACAUAAAUAAAUCAAUAAUUUAACGAGUUCAUAAGAGAAAGAUUUAAUUAAUACUGAUUACAGGUUUGUUAAUGAUCUACAUGACUAGAUUGACACUAAAGCUAAAUAUAAAACAUUUGUUAAUGACUUAGAAAAAAAAAAAAAAAGAGGACAAAGACAAAAAAAACUUUGUGAACCACAUAUUGAAGUCCACGAGAAUCGCAUUUGAAAAUUCGACAUCAAUCAAUUCGAUGUGACUUGACAGGUUACAGUUAUAUAAACAUGUUAUAUAUGUCAUACACUUAAGUUGUUGACAUGUUCCCUUUGAUAUUAUUAAAAGAUACUAUGCUUUUAGAAUACAGUAUAUAAUAAGGUUAUAUGGGUAAGAAUACUAUUACUAGCUUUAAUGUCAUUUGGGUAAGAAUACUAUUACUAGCUAUUCGAUUAUUUCCAAUAUAGUUUAACCACUUAAUUUUUGAUAAUGCUACUAUUUUAUAUUGUUGUAAAUUGUAACUCUUUCAAAUAUAAACAAUUUGAGAUAAUACCAAUCUGUUUAGUUCGAUUUCUUGAUUUUUUUUUAUUAUUUUUGGGUAAAGUUCUUUAUGUCUUUAUUGGAAACCUAAAUCUUAUACUUUGUCAACUGUAUAGUUGUUGUUAACUUCUUUAAUAAAUGACCGAAGAGUUAAAAACUCAUUUCCUACGACCGUGUUUAAAGCGCGUGUCUUUGUUUAAUAUUCUCACCAAUAAAGUAAUUAUGAAUUCGUAAAAAUGGUCAUCUAAUUACAACAUGUGAUGUGGGAACCUAUAUUAAGAAAAUUAAAGAACCAAGUGACGAUUGACGAAUAUUGAUCGUGUUUAACUCACGACGCGUAGAACGAGUCGUCGUGCAAUAAUUUAUAAAUCUUAUAUAAGGUGGCUGUAGAUAAGAAUAUGUAAAACAGAUUAAAUUAAUAUGUGUGACCUGCCACUUUUUUAGACAUCUAUGUGAUCUGCAAACUUAUAUAUAGUCAAUAUUAAUGGAUUUAGUGUACUUGGUCAAAUUAUAUUUGAGCAUGUACAUUUGAACAGCGAAUGAUAUGGGUAUGUUAUGUAUUCAUAAAGAUAUAUAAAACAUUACUUAGUUACAUUACAUGUCUUGACACAUUUGCAUAUAUAUUUUUGACUCCCUUGUCGAUCAGUAGGGUUUGUGUAGUCCAUCUUGGAAGGGAUCCUUAUCAGUACGUAUUAUUGAAGUAUGUUGAUGACUGUAACAUGUAAGUUAUAAACCGUAUGAGGUUAUGACCAUAAAUAGAUAGAUAGACAAUGAAAAAUAGUUUUGAUGAAGAUAAAGACAUCGAAAAUGUUACUCUAUAGUAAUUUUGUUUCCACGAGCACACUCAAGUCAUGCAUGGAUAGAUAUGUUUUUUUUUGUCACGUACGACUACGAUUUCUUUUGGUUGUAUGUGAAUAUGGUAAAAAUCACCCAAAUGUAUGGUGGAUGAUUGCCUUUUGUCGCAUCCAAAAAGAAUAUUCCACCGUCUAUAUUUAUCGUUUUCAUGUUACUGAAAUUUUUUAUAAUCUUUUUUUUUUCACCAAUUUUAUAAUCUUUAAAAGUCACAUAUAUAUAUAUAUAUAUAUUUAUCGACAAUAAAAAGCAUUAUUUAAGGAAAAUAGUAAUAAGUAAAAAAGAAGAAAGCCAAUAAUUAAAUUUACAUUAAUUGUAAUCUGGUCUAUGGCUAUUUUGUAUUUACUGUUUAAAACUGUAUGACUUUAGUCAUCCCUUGUGUAUCGGUAAAUUUUAUUAAUAUUAUAUAUAUAUAUAUAUAAUUUAUUCGAAUAUUAUAACAUUUGAAUGCAAAAUAUUGGUCAGUCGCAUGACUCACAUAGUCACAUGAAACUAACAUAAUAAAUGUUCAAAACUCGAUUAGGGAUAACAAGGAUUCAGAAGUCUCAAAUUGUAAUUAUAAAACGUUAUUUGCUAUUUUUAAUGAUAAAAUAAAAAUAUUAAGUGUUUUACUUCAAUUGAAAUGUAAGUUUCAUGAAAACCAACUUUACAGAAAAUAAAUAUCUUUGCAGGAUUGGAAAUAAUCAGACAAAGUUUGUUUUUUUUUUGUAUAAAGAAAAAGACACAUCUUUCACGUUUGUGUAUGACGCAAGACCCACGACUCAUCUACUGACCUAUCGAAAUUUUGUUUCCUUUCUUAUUAUUCGUUUUCUAUUCUUAUUCGGAGGCCUACUUUAUUAGUACUAAUUAUUUUUUAUUUUUUUCUUUCAAAAGUUAAUUUGUUUUGGUUAUAACGUAAAAGUUAACUUUAUAACCAACACAAAAGUAAACAUAACUAUUAUGUCUUAUCUCUUUAUGGUUGGCUUGAAUUGAAUUGCAGCGCUUUUAAACAAACGUGUUGAAUCCGGAUAAUUUGAAUACAUAAGAAUUACGAUCAGUUUUUGGCAAAAAAAAAGAAAAGAAUUACGAUCAGUUUUUGGUUUUUUGUUUUUGUUUUUUAAACAACCAUUUAAAUAUUUUACUACGGUUUUAAUUAUAGCUGAUCAGUACUAAAUGGUACGCUUUGUCACAUACCAUGAAAACUAGUAUAGCUGAUUCGUAUCCCCGAA
RNAcentral lists this long non-coding RNA (60660 nucleotides) under Capsella rubella. RNAcentral's name for it is "long non-coding RNA (CRUB_LNC002898)". The stretch from base 13143 to 13284 matches the Rfam family "mir-166 microRNA precursor family". Lineage: Eukaryota; Viridiplantae; Streptophyta; Magnoliopsida; Brassicales; Brassicaceae. The record is from RNAcentral.